RNAcentral lists this long non-coding RNA (45362 nucleotides) under Vitis vinifera (wine grape). Its description in RNAcentral is "long non-coding RNA (VVIN_LNC001605)". The record is from RNAcentral. Lineage: Eukaryota; Viridiplantae; Streptophyta; Magnoliopsida; Vitales; Vitaceae.
UCCAAUCCUCUGUCAACACAUGAUCAAGCUCUCCAAAUAGUAGGUUCUAGAACUCCCCAGAAUGAACCUAGUAAAGCCAGUGAAACCAAACACCCAAGUCAAGUCCAGUCAAGCUCUUUAUUCUGUACUGGAGAGGAAUUCGGAACCACCCAAGAAAUAUCAUCUCCCAUCCUAAAUAUCAAGAUUACCCUUGUAGAUCAAGUGUGUGCCACCCCACCCACUUCCCUCCCUGCUCUCAGAAGAAGAUUCUAGAUUGCUUCAGUGCCUCUUUACUUAAUCCCUCUCACUCACAUUCAACUUCACCAAGCUCAGAUCUGAGAGGAAAAACAGAGUGAAGGGUAGAAGUGUAGUGUGUGUGUCUGAUUAGCAAUGGCGGGAGGGGGAGGGGGAGAGGGAGAGGGAGGCCCAGCAAAAGAGAGCAUUUUUGUGAGUGUUUCGAACAAGAUAGAUGAAGCUUACAAUUGGGUGAAAGCCAAACUGAAUUCACUCUUCAAGCUCUUCUCUGAGUCCAUCACUGAAGCUCUUCUGGGGCUCAGAUCUUUUGUCACAUCUUGCUGUGAAAAACUCAGGGAAGUGCUUUCAGGGAUCAACACCCAGCUGGACAACUUGUCUGGGAAGAAAAUGGUGGUUGGGAUGGUUCCUGAGGAGAGUUGUCUUCAGGGUGAGAUGAAGAUGCUGGUUCAGAAGAUGAGGGCGUCGGUGGAACAAUGGUCGGGGGUUGGGAACAGCCCUGAAAUGAAGGCUGCACACCUGACAUCGAAUUGGUUUCUUGAUUUGGUUGAAGGGUUCAUUGAGUUGUUGGAGUAUGCCUACAAGCAGCCUUUGACCCUCAUACCUGUUCUUCUUGAAGGCUAUUUUAUAUACCGAAGCAGUUACAAGAAGGCUGGUGGAGUGAGGAGAGCUAUGAGGGGUCAAGGGAAAGCUGCCAUGACCAUUUUUACUCUAAUAAAUUUGAUUGUAUCAUCAACUAUCCUCUUCUAGUUUAGGGUGAGGUUUAUGUAGGGUUCAUGUGAAGCUGAGCUUUUGUUAGGAUGUCUGAAGUUGUCCCUUCCUGUGUUGUGUCAUGUGUGUUGAUGACUGUAAAAAUUACUACUAUAUUAUAAUAAAUUGUAAUACAUCUCUGAUGUCUUUUCAUAUUGAUCUGGAUGGACUGAGUUGUGUUCUUAUUGCCAUUUGUGUCUCAAGUGGCUUGUUGAGUUGAGAUCAAAUUGGUGAUCAAUUUGGGUUGAGGAAUGGGGAUCUCACAUGGUAAUGAAAAGAAAAAGUUGAAAGGGGGGGGGNNNNNNNNNNNNNNNNNNNNNNNNNNNNNNNNNNNNNNNNNNNNNNNNNNNNNNNNNNNNNNNNNNNNNNNNNNNNNNNNNNNNNUGGGGGGGGGGGGAGGGGGAAAAGUGAAAAACUUAACUUAAAAGCUUUACUUUCAAUCAUUUUGCAUAUUGGUACCAUUAUUUUUUAAAAUAUUUUCUAAAAAAAUAAGUGAAAUCAAUUGAAAAUAAUUAAAAUAUGUUAAAAAAAAAAAAUCACAUUUCUGUAAUAAUUUUCGAAAAUGAUUGAUAAUCAGAUGUGUUUUCAUAUUUUUUUGCUUCUUAAAAAUACAAAAGUAUUCUAAAAUUAGUUGCAUUUUUUAUUUUUUAUCCUAAAUGAUUUGAAGCUAUAGGGUUAAAUAUUGAACAAGCUCGAACUUAAGACCUCGGUUUAUUGUUGAAGGGCACUACUACUGAGUUAGAUUCCAAAACCAAUAUAAGGCUCUUCGAAUUCUAAAUUCCACCCUUUUGAUGUUUUCAUUUUCUUUUUAACCCUUGAUCAAUCUUCAAUGAUCUUAAUUAAAAGUGCCAAAAUCGAAAACCUAAACCCUAAUAAACUAAUGGGCCUAAUUUGAACUCAUGAAUAAUGACAUGAUAAUAACACAACCAACACAAUUUAGAAUCGUUAUAAAUUGUAACUUUAAUCUCUAUUUAUUCCAUUGUAUACAAAGUCUAGAAUCGUUACACAAAACCUAAUCCAAUUAUGUAUGACCAAUCACAAUUUACCUCAUGGACCUCCAAAACAUAUUGGAUUUUUGUGGUGUUAAAGAUGAACCCCACAUUGUACCAUAAGAUGAACCCAAUGGGAGGAUUAGCUUCAUCACACUCACUGCAUACUUGUGCUCACUAUGCAUUAUCAAUAGUGUAACUAGCUAAAUUCACGACAAUUUGAUUCGAUGAGAUUAUUACUUUUCAGAUUGUUUUUCUUGUCUCUCAAAAACUUUGGACUUUAGUGUCUAAUAGAAAAUUAUUUUUUAAAACAAUUUUCCAUAUAUCUUUAAAGACAAAAAAAAAAAAAAAAAAAAUUCUAAAUUAAAAUACACAACAAUCAAACUUUAAUUGAAACUCGGAUUUUAUUUUUUUUAAGUUCUUAGGUAUAUUGCAUAGAAUAUUCCAAGAAAUAAUUGAAAAUAUAGAAAAUACUUCAAGAACUUUUACAUUAUACAUAAGUAGAUAAUUCCUUGUUUGAGAACUAUUUUAUUAAAUAUUGUUUUUCGAAAAUAUAACGAAAUAGACCCUUAGUAUUAAACAAUUGUGAGUUUAAUACUAUUAUUCAAGCACAUAUUCUUGUUAAUGGAAUAGAUAUAAAAUUAGACAUGUACAUAUACCUUGAACAUCAUGCAUGUUAAUAUGGAACGGUUGUUCUUUAUAUAUCCAAGUCAUGUUAAUAACUACGUCAAGAGGAAUGCAUAUAUUAGAAUUCGCACAUUUAAUCAAGUUUGAUUUCAAUCAAAUUAGGAUUAGUUAAAUAGUUUAGAGAUUAAUUAUAAUUAAUUAGAAUUAAUUUAUUAGUAAGGUAAAAAUUAAUUUUGAUCUAGCAUGUUGAAUAUUUUUCAUUCUUUUUCUAUAAUUGCCCCUCAACCAAACAACCAUACUUUUGAAGUAGGUCAUCCCAGUGUCAAACUAAAGUUAUUGAAGUCACACUAGACUAUACCUUGUUGGGCCAAUCAAACCAUCAAAAUUUCUCUAAUAUUGAGUAACUUUUUAUAAUUUUUGUUUUUCUUUCUUCACUAUUUUUAAGAAUUAUUACAUACUUGAAACUUCUUAUCUUUUAGGACAUUAAGUUUUAAUACCACAUCUUUUUAUUUUUAUUUAUUUAUUUAUUAUUUUUUAAAGUCUUUCUAUCUUUACAAUUAAUAACUAUUUUUUCAUUUCUUGUAGACUCUUAAGUUUCUAGGUACUAACUUUUUUUCACAUCCAUUAUUUUUAAAUUUAUAAAUCAUACAUGUAUAGGUACCGUAUGGUAGAAACAUAAUACUCUUUAUAAAUUAAUAAAUUAUUCAUUUAUUAAUAAAUCAAUAACCACUCUAAGAAAAUAAUUUCCCUCAAUCCCAAGAGUAUUAAUAUUUUAUGGGGGUUUUACCAUAUAUAUUUAUAAUGAAGUUUAGCUUUUGCAUGCUUUUAUGACAAAAAAUAUUAAAAUAAUAAAAUGAUAAAAUAUAAAGCCAGAAAAAUAUGAAUUAAAUAAAUAAUGAACUUUUGUUUCAUUCUUAAUAUAUGAUAUAUCUUCUUUAUAAUUAAAUAUAUAAUUUUAUUAUUUAAUAAAAUAAAAAAUAUUAAUACAUUUACAUUUCAUCUUUGUUAUGAUUUAAUAUAGUAAUAUUAAAGAUAUUUUAAGUUUUUUAAUUAUAUAUAUUAAACUUUCUAUAAUUAUUUUUAAUCUUAAUAAUAUAUAAAUUAUAUAUUCAUGAUGUUAUAUUAUCAUCACGGUUCGUUCACAGUUCCAUCGAUCCAUCCAUUGAAUUGUGACUUUGUAACUUUUUCAAUUCAAUUGUCAUCAUAGUUCCGAAAACAUUAAUUCAAACUCAUCAAGUUAUUAACAAUUUUUUCAAUUCAAUAAUCGAUUUGGUUUUCAAACAUUGGCUCAAACUAAGGGUGACAAUUCGUGCUAACGGGUCAUGUUUGUAUCAUGUCAAAGUUUAAGCAUUAAUUCUACAAUGUAGGUCAACUCAAGCAAGGUAAGAAUAAUAUUUGAGUUAAAAAUAUAAACUCAAAUACAACUUAAUUAUUAAACAUAUAACAAACCAUGUAACCAAUUUAACAAUAAGGCUCUCAUAUUUAGUAAUGUGGUUGAAUUAAGUCUUGUAUAAGUCUAUAUGAUUAAUAUUUCGAUCCGUCAUACUUAUCAUUCGAUUGACCUAUUUAUUUAAAACAAAUUUAAAAUGAAUCAUAUAUAUAAGUUAAACAUAUUAGAAUUAUAUUAGAUUAAUCAACAUGAUUAUUAAAUAUAUCAAUUCAAGUUAAAUUUGCAUUAUUCAUGUUGGCCUAAAAUUAACCUAUCUAUUAAACAAGUUAUACCGUUCGAAUUUGACCCAAUCAUGAUUAUACAUAAUUAUAAUCCAUGAAAAAUGUGUUAAAUUUGAAUCAUGUUGAUGAAUCGUAUCAAGCUUUGUUACCCUUAAUUCAAACUCAUUAAAUUAAAAGUUCAACUAAAGUAUUGAUAGGUAUCUUUUUGACACCAUACAAAAAAUUAUCACCAAUAAAAAAAUGUUACCUAAACAAACAAUUCCUUUGCUUCGUAUAUAUUUUGGGUUUGAUAUUUUUUUUAUCUUUCAUGUAAUCUUAUUACCUUAUACUUAAGUUAUCUUUAUUCAAUAAUCUAUAUUUUCAGUAUACACAUGAAUGAAUAACAAGCUCGAUAGGAGCCCAAUUGAUGCGACAAUAUUUUCUUUCAAGUUAUUUAGAAAAAAAGAAAUAAAAAAUGAAGAGAUCGGAUAUGCCUUUGGAAAGGUAACUGAGCUUGCUGUUUUGUGAAUAUGCCAUUGGUUAUAAUUAAAGAGUCCUUCUGCUGCAUCCAAUCAUGUGGCAAUACUUCCUGCCAUACAAAUGCCCAAACACCCACGUCUAAGUAAAGCAGUCACUCAGUGCAGGAAAAAGCUAGGUGUAAGUUGGGAACUAAACACCCUAGACUAAGCAAAGCACUCAAAUCGUACUGGAAAAGUUUGGGCUUUGUAGAUUACCUUUGUAUCAAGAUUAUCUUUGUAGAUCAAGUGUGUGCCACACCACCCAAUCCCUCCCUGCUCCAGAAAGGAAGAUUCCAGAUUUCUUCCAUGCGUCUUUAUUUAAUCCCCCACAGGACUCAUUCAACUUCAGCAGUGGCCAUCCUCAAAUCUGAGAGGAAAAACAAAGUGAAGGUUAGAAGGGUGGUGUGUGUGUGAUCAGCAAUGGAGAAAGAGGGAGAGGGAGUCCCAGCAAAAGAGAGCAUUUUAGUGACUGUUUUGGACAAGAUAGACGGGGCUUGCACUUGGGUGAAAGAAAAAGUGAAGUCAGUCUUCAGUUUCUUCAGUGGAGCUUUUCGAGGGUUGAGGUCGUUUUUCACCUUUUCUUCUGAAAAACCUGAGGAGGUGCUUUCAGGGAGCAACACCCAGAUAGACAAAUCCUCUGAAAAGAAACCGAUGGUUCAGGUGGCUCCUGAGGAGGGAGAGAAAGUGGAAGUGGUGGUUGAUCAGGACGCUUCUGUCCCAGCAAAAGACAGUUUUUUUGUGCGUGUUUGGAACAAGAUACAUGAAGCUUGGACUUGGGUGAAAGACAAAGUGAAGUCAGUCUCGAAGCUCUUCAUCACUGAGUCCAUCACAGAAGUGCUUUCAGGGAUCAACACCCAGCUAGACAACUUGUCUGGGAAGCCAAGGAAGGUUGGGGAGGUUCCUGAGGAGGGUGGUCUUCUGGAUGAGAUGAACAGGCUGCUUCAGAAGAUGAGGAAGUUGGUGGAUCAAUGGUUGGGGGUUGGGAACAGCCUUGGAAUGAAGGCUGCACGCCUGACAGUGAAUUGGCUUCUUGAUUUGGUUGGAGGGUUCAUUGAGUUGUUGCAGAAAGCCAUUAAGGAGCCUUGGACCCUCAUACCUGCUCUUAUUAAGGGUUUUUUGCUAUUCCUCAAUUUCAAGAAGGUUGAUGGAGUGAUGAGAGAUGUGAGGUGUAAAGAGAAAGCUGACAUGGCCAUUUUUACUCUAAUACAUCUCAUUGUACCAUCAACUAACCGCUUCUAGUUUAGGGUGAGGUUUAUGUAGGGUUUAUGUGAAGUUGAGCUUUUCUUAGGAUGUGUGAAAUUGUUCCUUUCUGUGUUGUGUGUUUCUGCUUGUUUUGAAAAUAAUUGAUAAUGAGAUGUGUUUUCCUAUUUUUUGCUUUUAAAAAAAUGAUUUGAAUAUAUGGGGUUAAAUGUCGAAUGGGCUCGAAAGUAAGACCUUGGUUCAUUUUUGGAGGGCCUUUACUUUUGAGCUAGAUUCUAAAGCCAACAUAAACCUCUUAGAAUUCCAAAUUCUACCCGUUUCAUAUAGACACUCCAUGGUUGUUUCCUUCUUUCAUUUUCUUUUUAACCCUUUUAAACCUUGAUCAAUCUUCAUUGAUCUUAAUUAAAAGUGCCAAAAUCGAAAACCUAAACUCUAACACUAUAACGGACCUAAUUUGAACUCAUGUAUUAUGAUACGGUGAUAAUAACACAAUAACAAUAAUUUAAGAUAAAGUUCAACUUUAAUACUUAUUUAUUCCAUCGCAUACAAAGUCGAGGAUCGUUGCACAAAAUCUAAUCCAAUUAUGUCAUUAUCAAUCACAAUUUACCUCAUGGACCUCUAAAACAUAUUAGAUUUUUGUGGUGUUAAUUAAGAUGAACCCCACCUUGUACCAUAAGAUGAACCCUAUGGGAGGACUAGUUUCAUCACUAUACUUGUGCUUGCUAAGCAUUAUCAAUAGCAUAACUAGAUAACUUAGUAAAUAUGGAUGGUGGCUAGUAUUCAACCAGCUUUUAUUUUUCAUCAGAUGAGAUUAUUACUUUCCAAAUUGUUUUUCCCCAUCUCUCCAAAACUCUAGAUUUUAGUGUCUAAAAGAAAAUUAGUUUUAAAACAAUUUUCUAUAUAUCUUUGAAGGCAAAAAAAAAAAAAAAAAAAACAAUUUUCUAAAUUAAAAUACAAGACAAUCAAACUUUAAUUGAAACUCUGGAUAUUUUUUUAAACAACUUUUUUUUUUUAAUUUUUAGGUAUUUUGUAUAGAAUAUUUUAAGAAGUAAUUGAAAAAUAUAACACAUACUUUAAGAACUUUUAUAUUAUACAUAAGUGGAUAAUUCCUUGACAAAGAAUUUUGCUUGGGAAACAAUUGGAAACUAUUUUAUUAAAAUAUUGUUUUUAGAAAAUAUGGCCAAAUAGACCCAUAGUAUUAAACAAUUGCAAGUUUAAUACUACUAUUCGAGCACAUAUUCUUGUUUAUGGAAUAAAUAUAAAAUUAGAUAUAUACAUAAUGUUUGAAAAAUUGGAAUUUUUCGUCAAAAUAUCAGUGAAAAAUCGGUUAUCAGUGAUGGCCAAAAUGAAAUCGGCCAUCGAUAAUCAGUUGGGCGAAAAAUUUGCAAAAUCAUCGAUAUAUUAGCAGAAAAGCGAAAUAUCAAGGAUAAAAUUGAGAGUGGGACAACAUGCGCAUGGGGGAUAAGGGAUAACGACAUCAAAAGAUCUUGAAUAGAUUCAUAUUUUUAAGAAAAAAAAUGACAAAAACACAUUUGAUUAUCAAUUAUUUUCAAAACAAGUUGUUUAAGAUCUUGGAUCACUUUUCCUCCUCUAAAUCUUUAUAUCCUUCUCCUUUAAGUUGCUUUGAAAUGCAAGUUAAAAAGUAAAAAAAUUCACAAAGUGUUUGAGCUAUAAAUUUAUGGCAUCAUUGUUAGAACUCUGAUUGUCAUUGCAAUGAGUUACUACAAUUUUGUUGAUUGUUGGCUUCAUUUAUACUUCAUUUCCAUUUGAGGAGAUAAAAAAAUAUUACAAAUAGGGAUCAACUAUUAGGGUUAUUGAAGAUAAUCCAGUUUUGACCCGCUUAAUAUCUAAUAAGGUUUUUGGGUUCUCGAUCAUAAGGAGUUGAAUGUGAAUUCAAUUAUGAAAUAUAGUUUUUUGUUUUUGGCCCUUUUAUUUUUUAUUUUUAAUGUAUAUUUAUGCACAAAAAUAGUAUAAUAUUCUUAGUUUUCUUUAUAUCAGAAACAAAAGAUAUAUUAAUUAUGAAGAUUUCAUGAGAAGAACAAGGAAUCCUCCUCACAAAUACCAAAAUCUAAUCAGAAGGCAUAAUGAACUACUCCACCAUAUAAGGAGAUUUAUCUAAAAAAAAUAUAGACCACACACAGAUGUCAUCUCCUCAAGUUCGGGCUACGCUCCUCUCAUUGCUCAUCCAACCCUUUUUGCCUAUAUACAUAUUGCAAAUUGAGAAGAAGACAAUAUUCUUAGUUGAUGGACUGAACCAACCUAGAGAAUCAUCUUGUAAAAUUAACAAAGAAACAGAAGAUGACAUCUCAGAAUUGUAAUGAAAUAUUUGAUACUGCAACUAUAACAAGUAGCUUGAGGAAUAGCUGAAAUUUAUCAGGUGUAGGUCGUGUUUGGAACAAAAGAAUCAGGAAGGAUGCAGUAACCCAGUACCUGGAAGGUGCUUUACAUAAGGAUGUAGAGGAUCGUGAAGGAUACAGCAACCCAGUACCUGAUAGAAGGCGCCUUACACGAGGAUGUUUGGAAUCAUGAAGUUUGUUCAUGCUUGUGGAAAAUCGAGAAAAUCAAGAAGAUGGUUGAAAGUCAAAGGAAGUAGUGGAAAUGCACGCCAAAAGGGAAAAUGGCAGCAAAAGAUUAUUGAAAUCUGGAUUCUAUUGCCUAAAGAAAGUCCGAAGAUGAUUAUUUAAAAUCAGAGUUAUUUGGAUGAAGGUGAUUUUGAAAACAUAAUUCAAAACAUGUAAAAUCACGGGGAAAACAAGAGGGGUGCAGAAGGAAUAGGGUAGUGUGCACCAGAGUGGCCAUGUCGGAAUGAGGUUUGGGGGUCUGGCUUUGACUGCAUUGCUGGUGGUGCUCGAUAUGAUGAGGAAUAUGUCUUAUCUUCCAGGAAUGGGAUUGGGUUGGCGUUAGCAUGGGCCUAGUGAGUUCAUGAAUAUCCCAAAUCACGAUGUACCAUUCGGACUCGGAUUCAUCCCUAUUGAGGCCGAUUAUAGAUAUAUGGCGCAAUUGCGUAAGGAUCGGGUGAUGGCCCGACUGACUCAUACACCAUUUGAUUAUCCUGUUCGCCUAUACACCUUGAGCUUAGCGGAUUACUUCAUGAGGGUGUUGGAGCCAUAGACCCAUUCAAACGGGAUCAUUGGGGGACUCAGCACUACUCAGGAGGCUGAGCUACAAUGCCUCAUCCAUCAGCAACAGUUGAGUGAUGGAGGCCCUGACACUUUGACAUCUGUGUUUAUCACCCUAUCAUCUUGAGAUCGUAUGAGCCUUAUGACGCUCUAUUUCCUGGAUGAGAUCGAUGAGCACGAGACAUUUGUCGAGAUCGAAAAUAUAGUGAACGGAGUUGUGCCACGUGACAAGUACGUUGACGAGAUGCACACUAUGAGUAUUAGCCAGAUUGAGGAGAUAGUUCAGCCUGAGCUUGCUUCACCAUUUGAUCUUUUCAGGGUGUCCGUCAUCGAGAUUGCUAAGGAGAUCCUAACUGCCCCUGCUCUGGAGUCUAUAGAGGAUGUUUUAGAUGUUGAUGAUUUGUUUGAAGACUUUGUUGGCCUAGUUGAGGGAGCGUCCGACUUUGUGGAUCCACCUAUUUCAUUUGAUGUUUUAUCGGGAUUUGUCUCCAUUUCUGACGAUGUUCAUGACUUUUCAUUUAUAGAUUUGAGCAUUUUCGAGCAUUUGCCUGUCUCUUGUGAUAUCACUUUAUCUGCACCCUCUUCACCCACAUCACAGAUAUUUGAUAUAGAUGAUGAGAUUGUACAACAUGAUUCAGAUGAUGACUCAUCUUCUACUUCUGAUUCGAGUCCUGGUGAUAAGAGAGUUUCACCUGCCAGAGGAGAUGUUGAGAUUGUUGAUUUUGGUACAGUAGACCAGUCGAGGGAGUUGAGGAUUGGAUUGGACUUGUCUAUGGAUGAGAUGGAUGGCCUUGCCUGAUUGCUCAUAUCGUAUUUGGAUGUUUUUACAUGAUCCUAUGAGGACAUGCCGGAUCUUGAUUCAUCCAUAGUCCAACAUCACUUGCCACUUCUACCUCAUGUCAGACCUAUUAAGCAGAAGUUGAGGCGAUUGCACCCUUGUUGGAGUUUGCAGGUGAAAAAAUAGAUUCAGAAGCAGCUCAGUGUGGGAUUUUUAUCAAUGGUCAAGUAUCUCGAGUGGCUGGCCAAUGUCGUCCCUAUUCCUAAAAAAGAUGGCAAGGUGAGGGUCUGUGUUGAUUUCCAAGAUCUCAACAAGGCCAGUCCUAAGGAUGAUUUUCCUCUCUCACACAUUGACAUGCUAGUUGACAGUAGGACAGGUCACUUGAUGUUGUCCUUCAUGGAUGGAUUUUUUGGGUACAGUCAAAUUCUGAUGGCUCCAGAGACAUGGAGAAGACGUCCUUCAUUAUCGAGUGGGGUAUUUACUGCUACAGAGUGAUGCCGUUUGGUUUGAAGAAUGCAUGAACUACUUAUCAAAGAGUAAUGACUACUCUAUUCCAUGACAUGAUGCAUCAGGAUGUCGAGUUUAUGUAGACGACAUGAUAGUGAAAUCCUAAGAUAGAGUAGAUCACCUAGCAACUUUGGAGAGAUUUUUUGAGUGGAUCAGGCAGUUCAGAUUGAGACCGAAUCCCAAGAAGUGCACUUUUGGAGUGACUUUUGGGAAGCUCUUGGGAUACAUGGUCAGUGAGAGAGGUAUAGAGGCAGAUCCAGAUAAGACAAGAGUCAUCCUUGACAUGCAUGCACCGAGGACUGAAAGAGAGAUCAGAGGUUCUUGGGUAGGCUUCAGUACAUCAGCAAAUUCAUUGCCAAAUUGACGGACAUCUGUGAGCCCAUUUUUCGACUCUUAAAGAAGAGUCAACCUACUGUUUGGAAUGAUCAGUGCCAACACGCAUUUGAGAUGAUCAAAGAGUACUUGUUGUCACCUCCAGUCUUGGUGCUUCCUACACCGGGCCGUCAUCUACUCCUAAACUUGUCAGUCUUAUAUGUAGUUUUGGGUUGUAUGUUGGCUUAGCUUGACGAUUCGAGUAGGGAGCGAGCUAUUUAUUAUUUGAGUAAGAUGAUGUUAGAUUAUGAGACGAGAUAUGUCAUGAUUGAGCGCUACUGUUUGGCAUUGGUUUGGGUCACUCGUCGACUGAGACAUUACAUGAUUGACUAUUCAGUGCACUUGACAUCUCGUUUAAAUCCUCUUAGAUAUUUGUUUGACAGGCCCACUCUGGUCGGUCGCCUCAUGAGAUGGUUGGUACUUCUAACUGAGUUUGACAUCCAUUAUGUCACUCAGAAGUCCAUCAGAGGGAGCAUUCUUGCAAAUCACCUAGCCUCAUUACCAGUUUCUGAUGGUAGAGCUAUUGAUGAUGAUUUUCCAGACGAGGAUGUUGUUGCUGUGACUAGUCUGUCAAGUUGGCGCAUGUACUUUGAUGGUGCAGCCAACCAUUCUGGAUACAUAAUAGGCAUCUUGUUGAUAUCCUCUCAUGGUGAUCACAUUCAUAGAUCUAUUCGUUUGGCAUUCUCAGAUCGACAUCCUGCCACAAACAAUAUUAUUGAGGAUAAGGCUUGUAUCUUAGGAUUAGAGACAACUCUUGAGCUCGGGAUUAGACAGAUGGAGGUGCUUGGUGACUCCAAUCUAGUGUUGAGACAGAUUUAGUGUGAAUGGAAGACUAGAGAUGUUAAGUUUAGGCCUUACCAUGCAUACUUUGAGCUAUUGAUUGAGAGAUUUGAUGUUUUAAGAUAUACAUAUCUGUCUAGAGUACAGAAUCAAUUUGUUGAUGCCUUAGCUACUCUAGCUUCCAUGAUUGAUAUUCUCGCCAAUGCUAUUAUUCACCCCUUACUAAUUGAGUCGAGAUCUGCUCCUGCCUAUUAUUACUUGAUUGAUGAGGCAAAGUUUGAUGAUGGCUUGCCUUGGUAUCACGGCAUAUACCAGUUUUUGAGACUUGGCACAUAUCCUAAGGCCACCACAACCAAGAAUAAGAGAGCAUUGAGAUAGUUGGCCGCACGAUUCGUGAUUUGUGGCGAGACUUUGUACAAACGAUUAGUUGAUGGGAUGUUACUAUUGUGCCUAGAUCGCGCCAUCGAGUGGGAACGCAUCGUGCAAAAUGCGAGGUCCACAAUUACAAGUAAAGAAAAAAAUUAUAUAUACUUGAAUCUUUUUCAACUUUCUUAACUAUCCUUUACAACAUCAUCAUCUUUUUAAUUGAAGAAUAAAUUUUUUUAAAAAUAUAAGACCCCUUUAGCUAUAUUUUCUUUUACUUAUUUAAAAAAAAAAAUUUAAGUUAAAAAGAACAAAAAAAAAAAAAAAAUAGAAAAACAGUUUUUUUUUAGUAUUUUUUAAAAAUAAGGGUGUUUGGCAAGUUCUUUAUAAAAUUAGUUUUAAAAAAAUUGUUUGGGCAAGUUGUUUUUAAAAAUAUUUUUUAUUUUGAUUUUUUAAAAAUACUAUAAAAUCAAUUUAUAUAAUAUUAAUUAAAUUUAAUUCAAAUUUUAUUAAAAGUGAAAAUAAUUUUGGUAAUUAUAAAUAAAUAGUUUUUUAGUAAAAUAUGAAUUGCAAAAUUAUAAUAAAGUCAUAAAUUAUAUUUUUAUAAAAAAAUACACUAUUUUUUAUAUGUUAUAAAAGUAUGGAUAUUAACAUAUUUGAAAAGCAUAAUUAAUUUUUUUAUUAAAAAUAAACGAUAAUAAUUUAUUUAAAAUCAAAUAAAAUGUAAUCAUUUUAACAUGUAAAUGAGUCAAGUUUAAAUAAUUUAUAAAAAUAUAAUUAUAUAUAGAAAAGAAAUUAUAGACAUUAUGGAUCAAUUUUUAUCCAUAGUUUUUUUGUAUUAAUUGGAUUACUAUUUGAGAUUCAAAUUAAUUUUAAAAAUCUCUAAACUUAUUAAUGAAUCAAAUGUAUUAAGUUUUACUUAAUUUGAAGUUUAUUUGUCUAAAGAAAUAUAUAAGUAAGUCAUUCAAGACCAAAUUUUGUUCAUAAAUUUAUGGUAUUAAGUGGAUCAUUAUUUAAGCUUUUAGUUAUUUUUAGAAAUUAUUAAACUUGUUAAUGAAUCUAAUACAUUAAGUCUUCACUUGAUUUGAAGUUUAUUUACCUAAUGAAAAUUUUGUAAAAAUAUGAUUUCAUACAAAAAAGAAACUAGCCAAAUCAUUAAAAAUAAAUUUUGAUAUAUGAUUUUUUAAUAUUAUUGAGGUGUAUGACUUUUCAGUAAUAAUUAAAUAGUUUUUUGAGUCUCAAAAUAUUUUUAAAAAUUAAUAAAUUUUAUAUAUUAAGUAUAGUUUGAUUUGAAAUUUAUUUGUUUAAUGAAAAUUGUAAAGAAAUUAAAGAAAAUUAAGAAAAACAACAUGGAAUUCAAAGAAAUAUUAUAUUUGAAGAUAGAAAGAAAAGAUAUCAUAUUUAAUUUUAUCCACUUUUUAUACAUAUUUUUAAAUUUUCUCAAUGUUUUUCUUUUGAUUAUAAAAAUUGGUAAAUAUAACUUUUAUUUGUUUUUUAAAAAUUGUUCCAUAUUUCACUUUUUUUUUUUUUUUUUUGUUUUAAAAAGAAUACUAUCAAUUUUUUAAUUUUUUAAUUUUUAAAACUAAAGAACUAUUUUUAAUAAUUAUAUUUUAAUUUAUGAUAUGUAUAUAUAUAAUGUAUGUGUACGUAAAUCUUUCUAGAAUCGGAUUGGUCAUUAAGUCAAAAAAAUUAUUGGAUAAAAGUUGAUUUUUAGAAUUGAUGGUCAAAUUUGUGAUCUCAUAAAUAUAUGAUUUAUAUUUUAUUAAAAUUAAAAUAAUUAAAAAUUUUAAACAUAUUUAAUUAUUUUAUCUUUAAUAUUGAUUGAUGAAGCCAUGAUAAAUAUAAAAUUUAUCAACCCAUUAAUAUUUUCAAUUUUAUUGAAUAGUGGAGAUUUAACCGGUUAACAUGAAAUAAAAUUUAAGUAUUUAAAUACAUUCACAUUUCAGUAACCAUAUACUAGCUCUCAAAUUUAAUUAUUGCUUACAUUGCCUUGUUUCCAUUCCAAUUACGUUUUUGGUCUAAAAAGUGUUUUCGGGAAAAUCACGUAUCAAGUGUAUUUUUUGAAAGUAUUAUAACUAAUUUUUUAAAAUUAUAAACUUUUUCAAAUGAUUUAUCCUUAUUUGAUAAUUGGUUUUUAAAACAGCUUUUCUUUCUUUAGAAUUGAAAAAAAUAAAAAAAAUAUGUUUGAUAACCAUAAAACAGAAAACAAUUUUUUAUUUAUAAAAUAUAAAAAACAAUUUUUUAUUUGUAAAAAAUAGAAAACGGUUUCCUAUUGAGAAAAACAAAAACACGAUAUUUUUAAAGACAAUCUUUUAAUUGUUUUUAAUUGUAUUUACUUGUUUUCUUAGAAUUGUUUUAAAAAAUAAUUAUAUAAAUAUGAAAAAUGAAUAAAAAUAAAAUAUUAUAUAGAAAAAAUAUUUUUAAAACAUGUUUAAAAAUAAAAAUAAAAAGAAGUUAAAAUCAUUUUAAAUUUUCGAACAAACUUUAGUUUUAUAAAAUAUUAGAAAAUGAUUUUUGAAAAAUUGUUUUAAAAAACUGUUUUUUAAAAUUAUUUUCUAAAAUAAUUUUUAAGCCAAUUUCUUAUUUUAUUUUAUUUUUAAAAAUGUUUUUUAAAAUAAUUAUGAAACGGACUCUUAGUUUAAUUUAUAGCUAAUUAGGAUUGGUUUACGAUUAAUUGAAGUGAAUUAAAAUGAUUUAUAACUAGAUUAAAAAUUAAUUUUCUCUCAGGCAUAAACUAACAGCAUCUUCAUCUUUUUUUUGCUUUUGUUUUGUACUCUGGUGGUUUGGCAACCAAGCAACCUUACUUUUGCUGUGAAGUGGUCCAUGUGAAUAAGUUCAUCAUAUACAAGUAUAUUUUUUGUCCCUACUUUUGCUGUGAAGUGGCCCAUGUGAGUGAGUGUUCAUCAUAUACAGAAGCUGCCUACUCGGUAUGCCAUUGGCUUAGAGACCUGUGAGUUUUCCUGCUUCAUCCAAUCCUCUGUCAACACAUGAUCAAGCUCUCCAAAUAGUAGGUUCUAGAACUCCCCAGAAUGAACCUAGUAAAGCCAGUGAAACCAAACACCCAAGUCAAGUUCAGUCAAGCUCUUUAUUCUGUACUGGAAAGGAAUUCGGAACCACCCAAGAAAUAUCAUCUCCCAUCCUAAAUAUCAAGAUUACCCUUGUAGAUCAAGUGUGUGCCACCCCACCCACUUCCCUCCUUGCUCUCAGAAGAAGAUUCUAGAUUGCUUCAGUGCCUCUUUACUUAAUCCCUCUCACUCACAUUCAACUUCACCAAGCUCAGAUCUGAGAGAAAAAACAGAGUGAAGGGUAGAAGUGUAGUGUGUGUGUCUGAUUAGCAAUGGCGGGAGGGGGAGGGGGAGAGGGAGAGGGAGGCCCAGCAAAAGAGAGCAUUUUUGUGAGUGUUUCGAACAAGAUAGAUGAAGCUUACAAUUGGGUGAAAGCCAAACUGAAUUCACUCUUCAAGCUCUUCUCUGAGUCCAUCACUGAAGCUCUUCUGGGGCUCAGAUCCUUUGUCACAUCUUGCUGUGAAAAACUCAGGGAAGUGCUUUCAGGGAUCAACACCCAGCUGGACAACUUGUCUGGGAAGAAAAUGGUGGUUGGGAUGGUUCCUGAGGAGAGUUGUCUUCUGGGUGAGAUGAAGAUGCUGGUUCAGAAGAUGAGGGCGUCGGUGGAACAAUGGUUGGGGGUUGGGAACAGCCUUGAAAUGAAGGCUGCACACCUGACAUCGAAUUGGUUUCUUGAUUUGGUUGAAGGGUUCAUUGAGUUGUUGGAGUAUGCCUAUAAGCAGCCUUUGACCCUCAUACCUGUUCUUGUUGAUGGCUAUUUUAUAUACCAAAGCAGUUACAAGAAGGCUGGUGGAGUGAGGAGAGCUAUGAGGGGUAAAGGGAAAGCUGCCAUGACCAUUUUUACUCUAAUAAAUUUGAUUGUAUCAUCAACUAUCCUCUUCUAGUUUAGGGUGAGGUUUAUGUAGGGUUCAUGUGAAGCUGAGCUUUUGUUAGGAUGUCUGAAGUUGUCCCUUUCUGUGUUGUGUCAUGUGUGUUGAUGACUGUAAAAAUUACUACUAUAUUAUAAUAAAUUGUAAUACAUCUCUGAUGUCUUUUCAUAUUGAUCUGGAUGGACUGAGUUGUGUUCGUAUUGCCAUUUGUGUCUCAAGUGGCUUGUUGAGUUGAGAUCAAAUUGAUGAUCAAUUGGGGUUGAGGAAUGGGGAUCUCACAUGGUAAUGAAAAGAAAAAGUUGGGGGGUGGGGGGUGAAAAACUUAACUUAAAAGCUUUACUUUCAAUCAUUUUGCAUAUUGGUACCAUUAUUUUUUAAAAUAUUUUCUAAAAAAAAUAAGUGAAAUCAAUUGAAAAUAAUUAAAAUAUGUUAAAAAAAAUCACAUUUCUGUAAUAAUUUUCAAAAACCUGUUUUGAAAAUGAUUGAUAAUCAGACGUGUUUUCAUAUUUUUUUGCUUCUUAAAAAUACAAAACUAAUCUAAAAUUAGUUGCAUUUUUUAUUUUUUAUCCUAAAUGAUUUGAAGCUAUGGGGUUAAAUAUUGAACAAGCUCAAACUUAAGACCUCGGUUCAUUGUUGAAGGGCACUAAUAUUGAGCUAGAUUCCAAAACCAAUAUAAGGCUCUUUGAAUUCUAAAUUCCACCCCUUUGAUGUUUUCAUUUCCUUUUUAACCCUUUUAACCCUUGAUCAAUCUUCAAUGAUCUUAAUUAAAAGUGCCAAAAUCGAAAACCUAAACCCUAAUAAACUAACGGGCCUAUUUUGAAUUCAUGAAUAAUGACAUGAUGAUAAUAACACAACAACAAAAAUUUCGAAUAAAGUGUAACUUUAAUCUCUAUUUAUUCUAUCGCAUACAAAGUCUAGAAUCGUUACACAAAAUCUAAUCAAAUUAUGUAUGAUCAAUCACAAUUUACCUCAUGGACCACGGAAACAUAUUGGAUUUUUGAGGUGUUAAAGAUGAACCCCACAUUGUACCAUAAGAUGAACCCAAUGGGGGGAUUAGCUUGAUCACACUCACUACAUACUUGUGCUCACUAUGCAUUAUCAAUAGUGUAACUAGUUAAAUUCACAACAAUUUGAUCUGAUGAGAUUAUUACUUUCCAAAUUGUUUUUCUUGUCUCUCAAAAACUUUGGACUUUAGUGUCUAAUAGAAAAUUAUUUUUUAAAAUAGUUUUCCAUAUAUCUUUAAGGACAAAAAACAAUUUUCUAAAUUAAAAUAUACAACAAUCAAACUUUGAUUGAAACUUAGAAUUUUUUUUUUUAAAGUUCUUAGGUAUUUUGCAUAGAAUAUUCUAAGAAAUAAUUGAAAAUAUAGAAAAUACUUCAAAAACUUUUACAUUAUCAUAAGCAGAUAAUUCCUUGUUUGAGAACUAUUUUAUUAAAUAUUAUUUUUCAAAAAUAUAACCAAAUAGACCCUUAGUAUUAAACAAUUGUGAGUUUAAUACUAUUAUUUGAGCAAAUAUUCUUGUUUAUGGAAUAGAUAUAAAAUUAGACAUAUACAUAUACCUUGAACAUCAUGCAUCUUAAUAUGGAAUGGUUGUUCUUCAUAUAUCCAAGUCAUGUUAAUCAAGUCUGAUUUCAAGCAAAUUAGGAUUAGUUCAUGACUAUAUUUACAUAUAGUUUAGAGAUUAAUUAUAAUUAACUAUAAUUAAUCUAUUAUUAAGGUAAAAAUUAAUUUUGAAUCUUUUUCAUUCUUUUUCUAUAAUUGCCCCUCAACCAAACAACCAUACUUUUGAAGUAGGUCAUGCCAGUGUCAAACUAAAGUUAUUGAAGUCACACUAGACUAUACCUAGUUGGGCCAAUCAAACCAUCAAAAUAUCUCUAAUAUUGAGUAACUUUUUAUAAUAUUUAUUUUUCUUACUUCACUAUUUUUAAGAAUUAUUACAUACUUGAAACUUCUUUAUCUUAUCUUUAGGACAUUAAGUUUUAAUACCACAUUUUUUUUUUUUAAUUUAUUUAUUCAUUAUUUUUAAAGUCUUUCUAUCUUUACAAUUAAUAACUAUUUUUUUAUUUCUUGUAGACUCUUAAGUUACUACGUACUAACUUUUUUUCACAUCCAUUAUUUUUACAUUUAUAAAUCAUACAUGUAUAGGCACCGUUAGUAGAAACAUAAUAUUUUUCAUAAAUUAAUAAAUUAUUCGUUUAUCGAUAAAUUAAUUAAUUAAAUUCAUUAAUAAAUCAAUAACCACUCUAAGAAAAUAAUUUCUCUCGGUCCCAAGAGUAUUAAUAUUUUAUAGGGGUUUUACCAUAUAUAUUUAUAAUGAAGUUUAGAUUUUGCAUGCUUUUAUGACAAAAAAAAUAUUAAAAUAAUAAAAUGAUAAAAUAUAAAGCUAGAAAAAAAUGAAUUAAAUAAAUAAUGAACUUUUGUUUCAUUCUUAAUAUAUGAUAUAUCUUCUUUAUAAUUAAAUAUAUAAUUUUAUUAUUUAAUAAAAUAAAAGAUAUUAAUACAUUUACAUUUCAUCUUUGUUAUAAUUUAAUAUAGUAAUAUUAAAGAUAUUUUAAGUUUUUUAAUUAUAUAGAUUAAACUUUCUAUAAUUAUUUUUAAUCUUAAUAAUAUAUAAAUUAUAUAUUCACGAGGUUAUAUUAUCAUCACGGUUUGCUCACAGCUCCAUCGAUCCAUCCAUUGAAUUGUGACUUUGUAACUUUUUUAAUUCAAUUGUCAUCAUAGUUCAUAAAACAUUAAUUCAAACUCAUCAAGUUAUUAACAACUUUUUCAAUUCAAUAAUCGAUUUGGUUUUCAAACAUUGGCUCAAACUAAGGGUGACAAUUCGUGCUAACGGGUCAUGUUUGUGUCAUGUCAAAGUUUAAGCAUUAAUUCUACAAAGUAGGUCAACUCAAGCAAGGUAUGAAUAAUAUUUGAGUUAAAAAUAUAAACUCAAAUACAACUUAAUUAUCAACAUAUAACAAACCAUGUGACCAAUUUAACAAUAAGGUUCUCAUGUUUAAUAAUGUGGUUGAAUUAAGUCUUGUAUAAGUCUAUAUGAUUAAUAUUUCAAUCCGUCAUACUUAUAAUUCGAUUGACUUAUUUAUUUAAAACAAAUUUAAAAUGAAUCAUAUAUAAGUUAAACACAUUAGAAUUAUAUUAGAUUAAUCAACAUGAUUAUUAAAUAUAUGAAUUCAAGUUAAAUUUGUAUUAUUCAUAUUGGCCUAAAAUUAACCUAUCUAUUAAACAAGUUAUACGUUCGAUAUGAAUUUGACCCAAUCAUGAUUAUACACAAUUAUAAUCCAUGAAAAAUGUGUUAGAUUUAAAUCAUGUUGAUGAAUCGUAUCAAACUUUGUCACCUUUAAUUCAAAUUUAUUAAAUUAAAAGUUCAACUAAAGUAUGACCCCUUACAAAAAAUUAUCACCAAUAAAAAAAUGCCACCUAAACAAACAAUUCCUUUGCUUUGUAUAUAUUUUGGGUUUAAUAUUUUUUAUCUUUCACGUAAUCUUAUUACCUUAUACUUAAGUUAUCUUUAUUCAAUAAUCUAUAUUUUCACUAUCCACAUGAAUGAAUAACAAGCUCGAUAGGAGCCCAAUUGGUGCCACAAUAUUUUCUUUCGAGUUAUUUAGAAAAAAAAAAGAAAUAAAAAAUGAAGAGAUCGGAUAUGCCUUUGGAAAGGUAACUGAGCUUGCUGUUUUGUGAAUAUGCCAUUGGUUAUAAUUAAAGAGUCCUUCUGCUGCAUCCAAUCAUGCGGCAAUACUUCCUGCCAUACAAAUGCCCAAACACCCACGUCUAAGUAAAGCAGUCACUCAGUGCAGGAAAAAGCUAGGUGUAAGUUGGGAACUAAACACCCUAGACUAAGCAAAGCACUCAAAUAGUACUGGAAAAGUUUGGGCUUUGUAGAUUACCUUUGUAUCAAGAUUAUCUUUGUAGAUCAAGUGUGUGCCACACCACCCAAUCCCUCCCUGCUCCAGAAAGGAAGAUUCCAGAUUUCUUCAAUGCGUCUUUAUUUAAUCCCCCACAGGACUCAUUCAACUCCACCAGUGGCCAUCCUCAAAUCUGAGAGGAAAAACAAAGUGAAGGUUAGAAGGGUAGUGUGUGUGUGAUCAGCAAUGGAGAGAGAGGGAGAGGGAGUCUUUACUCAACUCCAGCAGUUUCAAGUCUUUGCUCAGAAGUUCGACUGAUUCAUCUAUUUUCUCACGGUUCACUUCUGGAUUCUUCUGUAGCUUAGUUUCUAUGUUUUCCUGCUCAUCAUGAGCUCCAUCUUUUACCUCUUCAGCAGUCUUAACCAGUUAUCUGCAGCCUGCAUAAGGGAGCUCGCUGAUUGAUGCUCACUUCCAUUAAUCAAAGAUGUAAUUGUGGCAAGAGCGUCAGUUUCUGAUCCUGGAUACUAUUGUAUUCAAACAGAGCUCUCAACUCUAUCCAGCGUUGUUGAUGUCGUCAUUAAAACUGACUUGAUGGCAGCAAGGCUCCAUUAAAGAUGCUUUUCUUGACAUCUCUAGCCCUACUCAGCGCCCCAAGUUGUAGCUCAAAAGGCCCGGGUUCAAAGACCUUACUGCCACUGGCAGCUACUUGGUUCACGGUUCCAAUAGAUUUAGAGUCAUCAGUACCGUUUUUGGUAGUUCCCAAUUUUAUGAAGGAAAUGCCAUCUGGCCAGAGAAAAUCUUGGACCUACAGAAUUCCUUGAGCAACAACUCCCCCUUGACUGAGUAAUUGAAUUUGCCUCAAAAGCCAGUUAUCAAUAGCCAUUUCCAUUAUUGGCUGCAAGGAUUCUCAUUAAACACAAAUGGCUUUCUCCCAAAUUCUGAAUGAAGACCCUUUUCUGAGAAUGGUUUUUCUGCUUUCUCUAGAUCAUUAUCAGUAUGGGAAGAACUAUUCUGUAUUAUAUGGCCAUCAACAUUGCUUGACCCUCCACAAGGACUAGCUUGGGUUGCAUUAAAACCAUUCUGGAUAUCUCCCAUUGUGGCAAGAAGUGGCACCUAAUGAAAAAUCAGAGCCAAAAGGUCCUUGUGCAGUCCGGAAAAUCAGCUUCUUUAUUUGCUUUCAGACCAUAGGAAAGUGACAUCUGGUCGUCUGUCACACCCCAGGACAGAGAUGUUUGAUAGAGCUGAGUUUGCCAUGAGUGAGGAGGUCUCAUUGCUAUAAAACGAUUGGGAACAUCACCAAAUUCAGACUCUGAUGUAUCAAUACUGAGAGAAAGUGCAUUACUAGUCCUUUCUGCUAAAGUGGCUUCCUUAUUUGCAGCAGAACCAGAGGAAGUACAGUCUAGAUCAAAUUCUGUCCUUCUGAAUAUGAGCCUAAUCAUUUGGAUCAAAAUUUCCUUUGAAGCUGCUCGGUUUAUAGGACUUUUGAGAAUAGUGCUAUCAGAUGACGAAUUAUCAACUCAACUGCAUACCGUAUACAGAAUGCCCAUAAACAGUGGUGCCUUUCUACAGGUAAUUAGAUGCUUCAUUAUUUCUACUGAUGAAUACAGUUUGGAAAUGGGACAGCUUCUUAUCCUGAGAAAUACUUCCAGAAAAAGUUCAGGCUCCUGUAAUUAUCUGCUUCUUCACCUCUUCAAACAACCGCAAAGUUAAUUCUUCUACUUUGCCUUCAUUUAAUAUAAAAGCCACUGUAUCAUGUUCAGAAGAAAAAUCCACUGCCACAACAAUCAAUCCAAAGCUAGCACUACCAUCGUCAUUUUCUCUGCUACAUUCGCGAAUAGGCAAGGAUCCACCAAUCUCAUGUUCCAUAUUACUCAAAUCAGUACUCAACUUCACAUUCCCAUCCUCAACAACAGGAACAUCUGAAUCAAAGUUAUGAAUACCACUCUGCCUGGAGACUGCAUUUUAUUGAGUAUUUGAGUAGACUCAGAUGGAGUGGAAAUUGGAACACUGUCUCCAGCUUUUAUAUCUUCUCCAUGAACUCCAAUUGCACAUUUUACAUUUUCAGUUGUAUGUGAUUCCCCAUGCAAUUCAGCUGAAGAAGAUACCACAAGCUUAAUAGAAAUAUCUCCCUAGUGAUGGCCUCCACUUCCAUCACAAUUACCUUCAGAAAGUUUAUUGGUUACCUCAGAUAACAGAGACGUGUCCAAGUGACUGGUUGAAAUCUCACUAUUCAAUUGGUUCCCACUUUCCAACAAAUCAUCCUUUUUCUUCACAAAACUGCUCUUUCCAUACGUCAGCUGCACAUGAGAGUCCAUCUUCUGCGCUAAUAUGGCACAAUUUUCUGCAUUUCUGUUGCUCACCUCAACAGCAUGCCCUAAAAAACUACUCUCACCUUUUGAAGCAAUGGGUGAGUCCCCAUGCAUAUUUCCUGUAAAUUGAUUAACCAUUUCUGUGUCUUUUGACAAGACCAAUUCUUCACAUUUGCUCUCCUGAACAGAUUCCUUUACACCCUCGCUGCAUCCUUCCACAACAUUCAGUUCAGAAUCACCCUUCACGAUUGUACUAGAAGGUCCCUCCACAUUACUAGUACAAGUUUCAAAAGCAUUUCCUUCUCCCCUAGAUUCUUCGGAGUCCAAAUAGAGAGGGUGCUCCAAGUUACCAGCACCACUGUCAACUAAAUUUCCCUCCAGAACUUUAUCAUUCAUUUGCCCCUCCUUGCUCAAAUCAUUGUGCUCCUCUCCAUCCACAUCAUUAUCUUUUGAUAAGGCAUCUCCACUACCAUGACUAAUAUCAUUUAUAUGAUCUGGAGGAGCCUUUUGAUUGUCCAACUCCUCAGCACUUGUCAUGACAUUAUGCAUAGAGGUGAUUAUAUUAUCAACUUGCAUCCCAGAAGCAGAAAAAUCGUCUUGAGUACUGUUAUUCAGGGAUUCAUUAACCAAAGUAUCAAUUUCCCUUUGAUUUGCAUCAUCAUCUUUGCUUUCAAUUAACAUAUUUCCUCAGUGACAGGUAAGUCAGUUGAACUUCUGUAAGCUAAUGAGUCACCUUCAUGAGUUUGUGACGUAUCCUCAAUCUGAGGUAGUUCUUUUCCUGCAUCAUUUAGAACAGAAAAACUUCCCAGAAACUUAUAUGGGCGUAUUGUAGGUCCUGAAUCUAUAACAUUACCCACGUUAGAAAGAUUGCUAUUAUCUGGUUUCAGAUUAUGCUCCAUUUGCUUAGUUAUGCUUCCCAACUCAUCACAGGCACCUGAGUCCUUGACACUAGUUUGACCUGGAAUAAUUUCUUCCUCCCCAACAGAUUUUAAUAGCAUUUCAACAGAUUCUGAGGAUGUGGCCUCAGACCAAACAUUGUUCCGCCUGGAUAUAGAGCAAGAUUCUGCAGCACUUGAACUAAACUCUAUCCCACUACUUCCCCGAGAGAAAUCCUCAAUCCACUGGUUGUCUUCUUCACUUUCAAUGCCAAGAAAAAAACCUCAGUUUCAACCAAACUAUCAAACCUUAGAUGCCCCUGGAGGCUGUCAUCAAAAUCAAACUUAGGAAGAGCAUAUGACCCUAAAACAGGAGGAAAUUUGGCACUCCCUUCACCAGCUAACAGGAGAAAAUCAUUGUCAUCAUAAUCCAUGGGUGUAUCCCAGAAGUAAGUCUAGGACGCUACCUCCAGUUUCUCCAGUUCACUACAAUACCUCGGAAUCAACUAUCCAAUAUUUGAGCUUUCAUCCAUUAACACAAAAAAAAUCCUUAGAAAAUUAGAUAGGUUGUAGUGGAAUUCACGGUGACAUAAAAGUAGAAUCACCAGAAACACCAAACAUACUGAGAUUGCUGCACACUUCAUCCCUCAUAUCAACGCUUCCAUCAUUCCCCAAUGUACACCCAAAUACAAAGACAAAGAUUCGAACACCGUGCAGGAAAAGGAAUAAAGAACAAAUAAAAACGAUGUAAAACUCGGAGAAGGAAAGAGCAGAAGAUGUCGAUCAGUAAACAUAAAUAGCUCCACUUCAAAUAUUAAUCCAUGGGCUAAGAACAGAGGAAAUAAUGCAGAAUAGGAUUUAAACGAAAACUGAGCAUUAUCAAAUUCAGGCAUGGAGUCAUAAAUUUCAGAAAACAUCAAUGACACAUUAAAGAAUCAAAAUCAAAAUAGGGCAAAGAAGUAAACGACCGAUCUCAACAGGACAACUUGUGGCCCUUAACGUCCACACCAAACAGCAAAAACUAAACAUUCAGAAACGACCAAAUGGAGGAAUUGAAUAUGGGUAAGAACACCAAGAGUAACGAGAAGUGUACCUGGACAGUUUUGGCUGCAAUCGCUCCUUUCCCACUCCUGCUGAAGGAAAAUCCCCCUUCUUUUUUAUCCCCCAAGAUCCUUGGCCCUCUGGCAGCUGUCCCCCAUUCAGUGCCUUCUAUGGCAAGCGUGCUUCUUUUUUAAGGAAUUCCAAAUAUAUGGGUGUCUCUGGAUCUCUUUUGCAGCCUGUGUAUAUGGCCUUUCCAAAUGGAUCAAAUGUGGUUUCCUUGACGAUGCCAAGUGGAAAUUUCUUCAAAGAAGCAACCUUCGUCUCUUGCUUGGAAAGUGGAGAUUUCCUCAUUGCAAAAUCCCAUGCAAAAUAGAAAGUAAAGAGUAGAAGAAAAAGAAAAUCAUAUAAUUGAAAAUUAAGAAUUAAAAAUUAAAAUUAUGCAAUUAAAACUAAAAUAUCAAACACAUGCAUAUUUUAAAAAUAAUAAUAAUAAUAAAAUAUAAUUUCAAAUAACCUAAAAAAAAAGAAUCAUUAAUCUUAAGCAAUUUCCUAAAAAUAAAUAAGUGACUAAAACUAACAAAUAAAAAGAAGAAUCAAGCACAUGCAAGUCAUACAAGCCAUGCAAGUUAUGCAACUAUGCAAACCAUGCAGGAAAGUGAGUCAAAAAGUGCCUAAGUGACGUGAACUAAGUGGAAUCUAACCUAAAGUGCACCCAAGUGAAGCUUAACCUAAAUUCGAAAGGCGGCCAAGGUCAGGAUGAGGGGUCAAAUAAAUCCCUCAACUAAAGUCUCCGAGGUGGCUCAAAAAAGGGUAAGUUGUAUGAGUAGCCAUGAGCCACCAAGAGACUAUUAUGAGUACUGAAAGAGCACUUAAAAGACAUGUGCUAAAGGGGACAAAAUAGAGGGUCUACAACUAACGGCUUGGAAGGGGCAAUACCUUUUAAGAAGAAGACUAACUUUGAUCAAAAGUAAGUUAUCAAGUCUUCUAAUUUAUUUUAUAUCCUUGUUUGUCAUUCCUAGGAAAGUCAAUGUAAGACUGGAGAAGAUUCAAAAAGACUUCUUUUAUAGAGAUGGCUGGCUUGAAAAAAAACCACAUUUGGUUAAGUGAGUUGUUGCUUGCUUGGGAAAAAGGAAGGGAGCCUUGGUAUUCAUAAUCUUUUCACUUUAAACAAAGCUUUGAUUGGUAGGUGGAAUUGGAGAUUUGCAAUGGAAAGAGAUUUGUUAUGGAAGCAAAUCAUAAUAGAGAAGUUUGGAGAGGAGGAAGGGGAAAGGGGUGGGGGGGGGGGGGGCGCGGCGGCAGGAUCAAGGUGGGUGAGGGAAGGUUAUGGAGUGGGGGCAUGAAAAGCUAUUAAGAAAGGGUGGGAGGGUAUUAAAAGCAGGUCUUGUUUCAUAGUUAGGAAUGAGAAAAGGAUAAAAUUUUGAAAAGAUAUUUGGUGCGACGAUUUACCCUUGGAAGAAGCCUUCCUAAGUUUAUAGCUUCAAACAAAGAUAGUUGGGUAGCAUACACAUGGGGACAAGUGAGGGAAUGGGGUGAUUUGAGUUCCCACUUUUCUAGGCAGCUCAAUGAUUGUGGUCUUAUGUAGGUGGAGUCAUUCUUUCUAAAGCUCCACGCCUUGUACUUUCCCUAUUUAUCACAUCCCAACACUUCUAACAAAUUGCAAUGGUGAAACCAUCUAGCCCGAGGGCUUUUUCGUUAUCCAACUGAAAAAUGGCAAAAUGUACUUCCUCUUCUGAGAAGGGGCAGUCCAGCCAAGAAACACUCUCUCCUGAUAUGAGAGACCAAUCGAAACCUUUUAUUCUCCAAAAGUCGCCUGGGGGCUUGGAGUAUAGCUUUCUAAAAAGAUGCAUUAUCUUCUUUGAAAUGUGCUAUUAAAUUUUAUGAAAUACACAACCGUGAUAUUCAUUUUCUAGCUAACAUGCAACAUGCUCUUAAAAUGCAGAAUACACACCAUAAAAGAUGUCAGUUCAUACUGCUUGUUGCAUCAUACUAAAAGCAAGUUUCUUAAUCAUUCUCACUUCUCACUCAUGACUACCUCCAUUGUUGGUGUUGUCAACUCGAGUACAUUAAGAAUGUCUAGAAGGUGGAAUGAAACACUGAUAUAUUACUAUUAUGAACCUACUGCCCCCACUUUCAAAGGCCUUGAAGCAACAAGAUAUUUGUUGGUAAAAAUAAUUGGGAGAAAUAUUAUCCUCCUAAUAAUCUUGUAGCUAUUUUAACUGAAAAUUUCCAUUGUUGAAUAGGGAAAGAAGGAUGAAUAUGUCUUAAUGAAUUAAGGCCCAACAAAGGGUUUUGAAAAGAACUUGGGCUUUUAUAUAAAGUUAUGAGCCUAGAGUAGCACUAUAUAAGGCUGCUUUACUUGAAAAGCAAAAGAAUAAUUUCAAAAUGUUGUGCAGAAGAAUGCAAUGAAAAGUAAGGAUGAUGAUGCUAAACAAACAAAAUACUGCCUUUUGAGAAACAGGGGAGGAGAGGCAGUUUAUAAUUUUUCCUUUCUUACCUUUUUCUUAGCAACCAAACAGAUUAUGAAUGGAUCAGAAUAUGAAAUAUUUCGUAAGGUAAUGUCCCUGUUCUCUCACAUGAGGCCUGGGAGGCCCUCAAGAUCGCUAAAGGAACCGAUGCUCAUGUCCGUGGAAGCCACCAAAUGAAAAAAAGUUAAAACAAACAACACAACCAACAACAAAACCGAUUCUCUCACCAUUUCAUCCAAUAAAAACAAUAAAAAAAAAAAAUAAAGAAUGGAAAGAGUAACCUUACCAGUAUCAGUAUCGUUGAUGAGGAGGACAUCAAGAGUGUUCUGGAAAACAACUAUUCUUUACUCUCAUGUGUUUGCGCAAGGCUUUACUAUCUCAAUCUGUUCCUUCUCCAUUGCCAAUUUUCCCAUUCUUGGAAAGAAUCUGAAAGAUUAUUCAAAAAUCAAAAUAAUUGUUUUGGAGAUCAAACCAAGAACAAAUGAAUAUCAUAAAAACAAAAUACCCCCAUUCUAAAUUUUUUUAUUUUUAUUUGUUACAAAAAUCUAUUUAUCAAAACCCUAAUUCACAAAAUAAAUUGAAAAAGAAAAACGCUAAACUCAAAAAUCAAAUUUAGGGAAUCACCCCUCCCAUGCACCCCCAGUUUCAAAAAUCAAAACAAUUGUAUCAAAAAUCAAAAACCCUAUUACAAAUCAAAGGAAAACCUAGACUCAGAAUCGGAAAAACAAAAAAAAAGGUCCAGAAAUCAAAAUAAAUAUUUCAUAAAUAAAACAAAAAAAUCAAUUAAAAAAAUUUGUUUAACAAACUCUAAUUUAGAAAUAAAGUAGGAGAACAAAGAAAGAGACUCAAAAUCAAAAUUAGGGAAAUCUCCUAUUUCAAGAAAGUGCUAAGGAAAAAAGAAAAAUCACAAUUUUGUGUUUGGCUUGGAUGAAAAAUGUGAAAGAAAAUCUAAUAUGAUUAAAAUUGGUAAUUUAAGUUGAAGAAAGAAUAUGGAGAGAUUUUAUCAAGCUUAAAAACAUAUUUUCUUCUUUCCCUGAUACAUCCUAAUACCCAAAAGAAACCCUAACGGAUUCUCCUUAAAUGAGGAAAUGGCCCAGGAUGCUCUGCUUUUGGUGCAGCCUUUUUCACUUCUGGCGUGCCAAAAGCAUUCCAGAACUUGAGAGUCUCAUCUCCUGCAGCAGUUGCCACUGUACGCCCAUCUGGACUCUGCCAAAUGAGUUGAUCAAGAAUAUUAGAACAUAUAAAGAUUUGGUACUCAGAAACAUUCACUAAACUAAGGUCCAUUUUAUUACCUGAGCCAUGAAAAGAACUCUGGAUGUAUGACCAGUAAGCUCAGCAAUCUUCACCAUUGAUGGAUACAUCCAGAGGGUCAUUUGAUUCUGCAUAAAGCCGUGGGAGCUAAGCAACUCACGCUCGUUCUUGUUCCACAGCAGAGCACAAACCUGUGAGCCAGUGUCCACUGAGUUCAAGCAUGCACUAGUGUGGGUGUUCCAAAACUUUAUGCAACCAUCACUCCCACCUCCUCCAGAAGCCAGCAAAUUGCGCUGAAAAGGGCACCAAGCAAGCGCUUUUACUGCAGCAGUGUGAUCCUCAAGCCUGUGAAGCCACUGAGAACGUGAAUGCAUAGAGGCCAUCGACCUAUCCCAGAUGUAGAGUAAAUUGUCAUUUCCUCCACUCGCUAACUGUUGGCCAGAGGUAGACCAUUUCAGUCCACAAACCUCUUGCCGGUGUCCUCUAAAAGUUGCCACAAUGUGCGAGUGCACUCUCACAUCAUUGUUAAUGAUCUGACCAUCCAUUCCCCCAGUUGUAAGGAUGUGGUUUUUCCAAUCUAGAGAACCAACUCGUGAUUGGUGGCCACCUCUCAGAGUCCUCAGCUGCAGAAUUGAUAGAACAUCACCGUAUUAGGAAAUCAUCAACAAAAGACCAUUCCAAAGGUUAAAACAAAGAAAAAUUACAUACCAGUCGAUUAGCUGUAGAAUCCCAUAGCUGAACAUCAGAACUCUUCAAGCCAAUGGCAAUAUAUUGUCCAUCAGCAGCCCAACUCACACUUGUAACAGGGCCAUUCUCAUCAUCAACAGUGACAAGCUCUGAGGCAGAACCAUUUGAAGCAUCCCACAAAUAUACGGUGUUUUGAAGAGCAAGUGCAAGAACAUUGCUGCUACCCCAAUCCAUUAAGUUCAAGCAAAAAUCAUCUAUAAUAUCAGGAGCAUCCAAUGUCCUCUCAGGAGUCUGUCGCAUCCCAUCAAAUCAAAAAACAAUAACAAAAGGACAAAAAAAAAUCAGAUAAAGUAAAGCUUAACAAUCAUAUAUCUGAAACAAGUAGAGAUCGAAUCAGUCAGUAAAUAUCAUAAACUCCAUUUUAUUGACCUAAUCUGAAUUUGUCCAACCUGAGGAAUACGCCGCAGAGGCUUUGAGGGCUUGGAUUGAUGAACAGAAGAAUAGAAUUCAUCUGGUAUCAAUUUUACUGGAGUAGGUGGUUUGUUCUUAAAGGCGAGGAUGCGAGAGCGAUUCAUGUUGAAUGUCUCAGCCAGUAGUUUCAAGUAGGCCUCUUUGGAUUGAGACCUGACAACACUUUGGUUCUCUUUGCCUUUCCCCCUUUCAGUCAACAUGUAAUGGGCAAAGUCGAAGUCCAUUGCUGAUCUGUUUGGAAUGAAUCUGUCCAACUGAAAAGCAACAAAGAACCAUUAAAUCAAAUAUUCAAAACAGAAAUCAUUCUAAUAUGCAUGUUUAGUAGAAAUCAUUCGACAAAAUAAAUAUCAUAAAAACAAAAUGGCCCCAUACAGAAAUCCAUUUUUUUUUCUUACAUUUUCCCAUCUCUGAAGAAAUUCAAAACAGAAAUCAUUCUAAUAUGCAUGUUUAGCAGAAAUCAUUCGACAAAAUAAAUAUCAUAAAAACAAAAUGGCCCCAUGCAGAAAUCCAUUUUUUUUUCUUACAUUUUCCCAUCUCUGAAGAAAUUCAAAACAGAAAUCAUUCUAGUAUGCAUGUUUAGCAGAAAUCAUUCGACAAAAUAAAUAUCAUAAAAACAAAAUGGCCCCAUACAGAAAUCCAUUUUUUUUCUUACAUUUUCCCAUCUUUGAAGAAACUGCACCUGUUGAGGGCAAGAAUUCAAAGACCCUGCAUCCAUAAAAUUUAAUGAGAACCAAAGACCAGACUUAAAAAAAAAAUCAAAACCCUAAAUUGGAGCGAUUUCGCUGAAAUCUAAACGAGAAGCAUUUAAUUAAAAUCAAAUUGUGGAUCAAUGAAAGCGGUUAAGGGUUGGGGAGGGUUUCACCUCUGGAGAGGCGUGCAAGGAGGAGAACCGAAAGGGGGUCAGCCAUCGAUGAUCGAUUGCGGGGAUCGAUUGCAGGGGAGCGAGGGAGAGAGAUUGCGGGGAGCGAUGAGCAGGGCCUGGAAUUUUCCAACGGUAAGUGCGGGAGAGAAAUUGAAAGAAAAGAAAUUGCGGGACUUUGUAACGGUAGCCAGCUUGAAAAGGUAACUCAGGCCAGCUCGCAGCUGCCGCUAAGGCCCGGCCCAGCGGGAUAAAUUGGGUUAGGGCAGGCUUUGGUUCCCCGGCCCAAACCGGUCCGGUUUGCCCCAACCCAUUUCAAGCCUAAAUUUCAGUUUUAAACUCAGCUAACAUCACCUCCACAGGGGCGCCAUCAGUUCGAGGAGAUGAGCCUCCUUUAUAAUAGUCCUCUGCGUAUCAGUGCCAUGCGCACGCAGCUUCAUCUCACGCCAUGACCACUCCUCCGCCUCCACCUUCGCUACUUGACCUCUGCACCUCUGCUCAUCUUCUUCUUCCACACUGUUGUCGAAGACGGUACCCAUAUCCUUACAUUAGGCUUCAUCUCUAUUUCCAUUAAAUGCAAAGAACCCAUUAGUGAAUAAUAAUAUCUUUCAUUUAAAUUAUAUCAUAUAUUUGAUAAAUCAACUUAAUAAUUUAAUUUAAGUUAUUAAAUAAAUUAAGUAUAUUUAACUUAAUGGUAUAAUUUAAAGUUAAAAAGUUAAAAACUAUCUUAAAUAAUAAGUAAAAACAAUUAACUUAUUCUUAAAUACAUAUUUUUAUUUUAUUUUUUUACCCUCAUUUGUCCCGUUUCCUCUAUGAUCUCUUUUUUAACUCCAUAACCUCUAUUAUUACUUGACUUACUUUGCUUUAAUCCUAAUUUAUGAGGAUAAAUAUGUUAAUUUAAUGAUUUUAAAUAAAAUUUAAGUUAAUUUAUCUAAUAACAUUAAUAUAUAAAGUAAGAAUUAAGUAAUAAGUUUUAAGUCAACAUUAAAUAUAAUUUAACUUAAAACCGAUCUAAAUCAUUAAGUAAUAAAUAUUAAAUCAAAUAUCAUUUUAAAUCCACGGUAAAAACUAAAGUUUUCCCUUUAAUGGCAAUUCCAACUUGUCAUUCUAAAUUCACCUACAAGGUUUCUUUUUCUUGUAUGUUCACAUUAAUCCCCUAUCAUCCUGGUGGGAGAUGUUGAUCAGGAAAUUUUAAAAACAUUCUCCUUUAAAUCCUUCUUUUCGUUCCUUGAAGGACUGUCAACCAACUUCUGUCUAACAAAACUUAGUUGGAAGUCAAAAGCCCUUUUUCAAGUGAAAGAUUUUGCUUGGUUUGUGGUUGACAGGAAAAUGAAUUUAAAAUUUGCUUUGACGAGGGACAGCUUACAAAUCCCUCAACUCAAACAGGUAAUUUCUAUGAAAUGGUUGCGGAGACAAUUGAAGAUCUCUUUCUUCAUUGCCUCUCCGCAUAAACUUAUGCUAUAAUAGUUAUUUUUCUGCUAUAAUUGUUUUUAAAUAUACCAUUUGUGUAACAAUUAUUAUCUUACCUAUAUAAAAUAUGGUAAGAGAAUGAGAUUUUUUUUUUUUGUUUGGUUCUUUUGGAUAAUAGAUCUAUUUCUAUGUAAUCAUUACAAUAAUGCUCAAUGUAAUAUAUAUGUGUGUGUCCAUAUAUGUGCAUGUGUUAUAGUGAUUAAUAAUUAUUUAAUCUGAAAUAAUUAUUUUAAGUAUUCCAUUUUUAUACCAUAUAUGCUGUAUAGAAUGUGGCAUUUUGAAAGAAAAAAAAUAUAGUCAUAACUUUAGUUUUUGACAUGAAUACAAUUUUUCUGUAAUAAUUAUCAUAGUAAAUUAGUAAUUAAUGUCAUAAUAAUAAAAGUUACUUCUUUUGAGCACCGGUUAUUCUUAAAUAUAAUAUCAAGAUAGAAUUUCUUAUAUACAAGGGUUUUUUUUUUUUUUUUUUUAAGAAACAAGCCAAUACACACUAUUAUAACCAAUGUUACAAUAAUAAGAUGGUAAAUUUAUGGAUGUCUUACAUAGUAAGUAAUAGUUAUUUUGGAAUAAUAACAAAUCUAAAUUUGGUAUUUAUAUAUCAUAUCUUUGUGAAUCAUUAUGGAGAUGGGUACCUAUGGAAGAAAAAGGUGGACAAAUACUUUUUAAAAUAAUUAAUAUAAUAGCAAAAAGAUAAUAAUUAUUGUAUUGUUUUUGUAUAAUAAUUACUUUAAAAUAGCAUUUGGCUACAAUCUUUUAUGGCAGAAAACAAUGGAUGACUAUUAUAAUUAUUACUCCAAUCUGUAUUACUAUUAAUAGUGGAUGUGAUAUCCAGUAUUUAUAACUAAACAAUAAUUGUUUUUUGAGACUUAUUUCUAGAGAAAAAGAGAAAGUAUCCAGACACUUACUAUUGAGAGAUAAAGAUAGGUUUGGGACAAAGAGUCUUGAAUUGCAUAUUGAUUGUGAGGCUAGAAUUUUCAAAAUAGUACGAAUUCUCAGUCAGUUUCUCUAACUUUUCUUUUCUUUCAUUUUUAUUCUAUUAUAAUUUGUUUAAUAUUAUGAAAAUUUGGGUUUGCAGCCAUGAUAUGUUAAUUUAAGUGUUAGUUGAUUCUCCAUUUGAUUGUUGAAGAGCUUAAGAAAAGAAGAAAAUUAAAGUUUGAAUCAUUAUGUUACGUUAUUUGGUUUAGAUUGAGAAAAAAAUGAAAGGAAUAUGAAAAUUAUUUUGUCAAAAGUUGUAUCUUUUUCCCCCUGCAGUGAAUUGGUAUAUCAGGCUUUUUGGAUAGAAUUUCAUGUGGGUAAUGUGUAUUUUGGUUUGCGCUUCAAAAGUUUGAAGAAUGUAGGGGUUUCCCUUUGUUUUUAGAGUUCUAUUGCUGGGAGUUUUCUCUUUUGUUUAGUUUGUGUAGGAAGGACCUCUCAUCCUUCCCUUGGUUUCUUCUCUUUCUUUUGUACUUUUUCUUUCUCCUGUAUCUUUUCUUCUAUCAAUAUAUUUUCUUCGUUUAUGAUCAAAAAAAAAAAUGUGUAUUUUGGUUUGUUAAAUCAUUCUUGUUAGUUUUGACUUUUGAGUGUGUUUAGUUUUUCUUUAUUUUUGUUAUAAUAUUUGAAAUUGGGAAUCAUGAAAUGCAUGUAGAAUUUCAUGUAGCUAAAAAAAAUUAUUAGAUGGGCUCAAAAUGAAUAGUGAUUUAGGUCUGUUUGGCUGUUGAGUUGUUGGAUUCAUAGAUAAGGAAAAGAAAAUUUAAUCUUUAUCCGUCUAUUUAGCUCCUAUAAAGAAUGAGAGAAAACUCCUUAACAAAGAAAACAAUUUAAAACAAUUUUCUUUCCUUUCAUUCUUUCCAAGAAAUUAUUAAAUGAAAAAUGUUGAUCAAGCCUUCAACAAUUAUUCAACCAUGUAAAGCAUUUUGCUUCCACAGGGUGUAAACAAAAACAAAUUCUCUUGUCGGUUUAUUUUUUCUUUUUAGAGGAAAAAGUCUUUAUCUUCCCAUUUGUCCACAUAGAUAACUAAAGAACUGGAGUUUUAUAGUUUUCUUUUUAUUUUUCCCCUGCAACCUUUUCAUUUUGGUCUGAAAAUCAUUAAUUUAUUGUUUUCAAUGCAGUGGAUUUUGGGGCCACGAACGAUGUUGGUGGUGAGGUGGUGGGGAAUUCUGUUAAUAUGGAGGGUGACCAGCAGGGAAGUUUUGUUGAAGCGAUAGCUCAACAAGGUGAGGAUGAUAAUUUAGAUCAAUAUUCUUCAGGAAUGGAAAUAGUUCUUGGAGAUGAACCUUAUGUGGGUCAGGAGUUUGACUCUGAAGCUGCAGCUUACGCUUUUUAUAAGGCAUAUGCAAAGUGGGUAGGUUUCAUCAUUCGUGCAAGCAGGCUUUCUAGAUUGAAGGAUCAUAGAUCUGAAACUCGCAGGAUGCUGGUUUGUACUAGGGAGGGUUUUAGAUUGUGUGACAAGCAUGAAAGUGCUCUAGAAAACAAGGAAGAGAGAAAGGCUGGUUGCAAGGCAAAACUUGUAAUGAAGAAAAUGAUUUCUGGUAAAUGGGUUGUCCAGAAAUUUAUCAAGGAACACAAUCACACUAUGGCUCCUAUUAAGGGUCAAAGAGAUUUGAUCUAUGAUCAAUAUCUGGUAAGUUUUAUCUCCUCCAUUAUUUAAAUCAUGUUCAUUAAUAUAAAAUCUUCAGCUUAAAUUGUAAAAGAAAUCAUUAUGGAAUUUCAGAGAACCACAUAAACCUUUGAAAAGGAAAUUAUUUUUCCUUAGUGUUAACUUCAUUCUAAAAAUUUUAAUGAAGGAUUUAAUAGCUCAUAAGUUCUAUUUCCAAACAUUAGGAGAAAAAGUUGCAAGAGUUUUUCUUGGUCUCAAGUUAUCUAUGUUGGACUGUGCGUGCAACUGUGCAUGCGUAUGCAUAGUUGUGCAUUCAUGUUUGAACACCUAUGUACUAGUGGGUGCAUAUUUGUUAAUAUUUUGUGAUGUUUAUGAUAGAUGUGCUAUAACUGCCUUGGUAAUGUUGCUAUUCUACAAAUAAAUAAAUAAAUAAUAAAAUAUAAAAAAAAAAAUGUGAAAAGUUGAUUUUGCACUGAUGAUUAUACUUGAAAGGGCACCAUAGGCUCAACACCCUAACCCUGAGGGGUAGCUCAGUUGGUCCGGCCUUGGGUUUGCUCCCCAAUGGUCACCAGUUUGAGUCCCCUCAAGGCCACUGGAGGUUUACCCGGUUGUUAACUUUAGGGCCCCGUGGGAUUAGUCGAGGUGCGCGUAAGCUGACCCGGACAUCCACGAUUAUCAAAAAAAAAAAAAAAACCAUAGGUUCAACACCUUAAUAUAGGUAAUAACUAAAUGGGCAGUAUCCACUAGACAUGUAAGUUGUGAUCACUUGAGAGUAUUUAUUUAUUUCUGUUUGUUAUAAUUAGUUUCAUAUUGCACUGUUUAUUGUCCUUGAAGAUGCUCUUUAGGCUUAACAUUGUAAUGAUGUCACUUAUGUCGGCCAAGUUGGGAGAAAGCCUUUGGAGUGUCUUAUAUACACACAAUGCACCUUAUUGGUAAGCACAACCCUUGAUUGACUCUUAUGGAUGGAGGUUCAAAAAAGUGGGAAUAAACUGUAUGCAUGUCAAAACCAUUUUAGCUAUUUUGAGAAGAAACGAGCCCACCCAUGUGUAGGAAACAAAUGUUAAGCAGUACAAAAUUUGGAUCCCUAUGAAGAUUUAAUUUUCCAUUUAGAAUAGAUGAUUGAAAAUGACUCCAAUAUCUAACCUUAUUUUGCUGAUUAAUUUGAUUAAUUUUGUUGAUUAAUUUGAUUAAUUUUGUUGAUUAAUUUCCAUUCUUUUCAUACUAAUUUGUUUUUAUUUUUCAUGGUACAAACUAAACAGUCUUCCAAGCUACUACUAAAGACUGUCUUUUACUGCAUGGGAUUACUAAAAACAUAUACUCUCCAAUAGGCCGGACCCAAUAUUGUGGUUAGAUGGUCACAUCAUUGCCCAUGAAAAGAUAUUUCCUAGGGGCUUCCUUGAUUUUUCAUAAUACAGUUGAUUUUUAGUUGGUGAUAUCACUUAAUAGACCAAGUUGUUCUCUAAUUUUAUUUUGCUACCAAAUAACAUAUAGAUUUGGGAAAUCUCCUUGGUUGGCACUGGUCAAAUAAAAACAUAUAGACUGCACUGUCACGACUUUGAAACAUGUUUUGAAGUAAGACAUCUAGCUUUUGUUACCACGUCAUAUUGAUCCAUUCUUCCCAUCCUCCCUCUCAUUCUCUGUUUGCCCUUUAUUUCCUUAUCUCUAAAAAAAGAUCUGAAAUAUACACUUGCCUUCUGUUGAAGCCUUGCGUCCUCGGGAUCCUCACGGUUGCCAAAUGGACGCUUGCCUUCAACCGAGGAUGGUUCCUGCCUUAGUUAACCCUGCAAAAGAUGUCCGGACAGGAUGUCCGGACACACCCUCCGACGAUUUUAUCAGUCAUUGCUCUGAUGAUCAAUCUGCUCUUUUUCCUGAGUCAGAAAACUUACCUCCUCUUUGGGCGAGGGCCCUUUUUUAUAGUGUCAGAAGUUCUGCCCUUCUUUAAUGGUGGGAUGACUUUUUGGCUUAAGAGUGUCGUGUGCCCCCCUGGGGGAUUCGGGUAGAGAGCUGGCGUGCCAUGUGUCACAUAGGGGAAUGCUGCGCGGGGUUGCCACGUGGGCGUCUGAGGGGUUCCCUACACCUUCUACUUUAGUGGGGCCAUUAGAUGUUCAUGAAAUUUGAAUUGCCAUCUUUUUUUUUUCAUGUGAUGCUGAAUCCACUGUUUUAUGAUAUUUUAAUUUAGGAUACGACAAUAUUUCCAAUGUUUAUUGUUGUUCUUGUUGAUGAAUCCAUUGCCUUAUCAUUUGAAAGAAUCUAUUAAUUAUAGAUUGCUUAGGCUCUUUGUACGUGUAAAACUAAGUUGAAAACUUGAAAGGGACUAAAUCUGAUCAACAUAUUGUUGUGUUAUGAUUGAGUGAUUGCCUUGCCUUGAAUUGUUGUAAAGAACUAAGAGACGUUAUUUCAUGAAAAUCUUAAAAUGUUGGUAAAAAAAUUAGAGUUGUUUCAUGAACACCUAAGUGCAACAUGGACCUGUUUUUUCAACGGUUAGAAGAACAAAUGCACGUUUUAAUCCUUAUUAGAUUUAAUGGAAUGAUUUCAUUUUCAUCGGACUUCCACAUUUGAUGUUGGUAUUUCAACCUUUUUUUGUUCAUUGCAACUUACCUUCUUUUAUGCUUUUGCUUUUGUAGGAUGAACAUGAAAAGAUAAGGGAACUAACCCAGUCACUGGCCUUUGAGAAGAGACGAGCAGCAACAUAUAAAAGGUAUCUGACAAUGGUUAUUGGUUAUGUUGAGGAGUAUAAUGAGAGGAUGUCGAAGACGAUGAACAAAGCCACUGAGAAUGUGGGAGAGAUUGAAGUCAAAGAACAGGAAAAUCAUUAGAUAGUUUCAAUACAAUUUGAAGAAGAUUUGUUUUUUUUAAUAUAUAAAUACAACCCGGAAAUGGUAUGCAGAAUGCUGUUAUAAGUUUGUUUGUUGUUGUUGUUGUUUUUUUUUUUGCAAAAGCAAAUUGUGAUUGUGAUGUUGGCAUAAAUUUGUUCUAAUCUUCAUUCUAGUUGUGGCGGUUAUACUACAUUUGUUGUCCAAAGAGCUUGUUGUAGAUUCUCUAUUUUGUUGUAGUAGCAAAUGCUUUUUUACGUGUUUUCCUCCGCUCAUCGUUACCUUGUAUCCGUCCCAACAGUGGUCCAUUGCUACUCAUUUGAUACUAUUUUGUCCUACCUCAUCUAAGGCAAAGCAUUAAACUUCUUGUCCUUUAUAUGGGACACACCUUUGAGAGUGAUUUUCUACAUUUCUCUCCACUUUUCUUUCACCUUAUGUACAUAUAUAUGUAUCAACAUAUCUGCUCCAAAGGUAAUUCUAUGAACCUUAAUUUGGGUUUGUUAACAUUAGAGUUUGCAUAUUUUUAUUAAUGUUUAUUUUCUUUAUCUAAAUUAUGUUAUAUAUAGACAUGACAUACAAUCCAAUUAUUAUAUGUUUUUAUGAUUAGAUAGAUAGAAUUGUUUAUUUGAUUACUACUAUCAAUACCAUUCCAAUGGCGAUCUUCACUUGUUUCCUAUAUCAAAGCUAUGGAUAAAAGAAGUCACCAUCAAAUAGCCCACCCCGCUAAAGUACCAAUGGUAUGCUCUUCUGACAAAAAGAAAUUGGUUUGCGCCUAAAUUGAAGUGAUGAGAUUAGUGGUUGAUCUUUAGUAAGCUUCUUAUGCAUGAGUGUCAUAAACAAGAUAUUUUUUAGUUUGGUCCAUCAACAUUUGGUUACUUUUUUUAGUAAGUAUUGAAACACGUCAUAAGUAAUGUAAUAUCACAUAUAUAUUUUUAAAUCUCAUUAUUUGUAUUUUAAUUAUAUUUAUUUGUAAUUUUAUAUAUAUACAUAUAGAGAGAGAGUUAUAUAUUUGAUUACUAAUAUCAAUACCAUUCCAAUGGUGAACUUCACUUGUUUCCUAGAUUAAAGCAGUGGAUGAAAGAAGUCACUAUCAAAUAGCCUACCCUGCUAUAGUACCAAUGGUGUGCUCUUCUACCAAAAAAAAAAAAUAGUUUGCACCUAAAUUGAAGUGAUGAGAUUAGUAGUCAAUCUCUAGUAGACUUCUUAUGCACUAUUAUCAAAAAUAAUAUAUUUUUGAGUUCACUCCAUUGACGUUUGGUUACUUUUUUUUAUAAAGAUCGAAACAUGUCAUGAGUAAUAUGAUGUCACAUAUAUUUUAAAUUUCAUUAUUUGCAUUCUAAUAGUAUUUAUUUAUACUUUUUUACUUUAAUCGUAUUUACUUGUAUUCUUAUUUACGCACCAUACAUAUUCAAUGAUCUGGAUUUGGAUUUCCAUAGGUAUCAGUAUGGCACCUUAGCAAUUUUUUUUUUAAGUUAAACUUAUAACUUAUAUUUUCUCGUUAAAAAGUCACAUAAAUGAUUGUUUAACUACAAAAACUAGAUUGGUAAAUAUUUUUUGAAGAGAUGUCUUUCCAUUGUUUUUUUCUUUAAAAGCACUAUUUUGCCCUUAAACUUUUAUUUAUUUAUUUAAAUUUAGUUAUAUAUUUUUUAAAAUUUUUAUGAAAGCGUUUUUAAAAUGCAUUUUUUGGUACCUAAAAAAUAAUAGCACGGGAAGAGUGAGUAUACCCUUUCUAUUGAGAGGUGAAAGUCAAAACCCAAAAGCGAUCCCUUCUCCCUCUUAAACCCUAGCUGUCACCAGCCCUGAAACCACAAGCUGCUUACUCCGCUCCGGCGAACCAACACAGCAUCUGGCUCCAAAGCCCUCCGUAGAGGUACUCUGUCUUCGCAGCCUCUCCGUCUCUCUCUCUCUCUUUGUUUUUGUUUUAUCGGCUCCCAAAAAUUUAAACUGUUAAUGGGUAAGAUGCGGCUAUUAUCAGAACCCUAGGUUUAGACAGAUGAACAAACCUUCAUUUUUUUUCCCUUAAUUUUUGAAUUGGGGGAAAUUAGAAUUUGGUUGGCUUGCUUGACAUUUGGAUUUCUCAUCACACUCUGUUCUUCCACGAGAUUUUUUUUUUUUGAAAUUUUUUUUAUUAGUGGCCUCCAGAAAUUAGCUGAUCCAAGGUAUUUAUAAGGCUCAUUGCUUUCUCACCUUGUAGCUGAAAGUCUUUCACCUCCCUAUCAGCAACUAAUAAUUGAAAAUUUGGGAUAUGCAUGAAAUAUAAUCAUCUAUACGAAAACCUAUACAAGUAAUUAAUAUCAGCAUGAAAAAUAAUGCCAUCCUUAGUGUAUUUAAUUGUGUAGUCAAAUUUCUUUUGUUUACCGAAAUCAUUGCCAAAAUAAUUUUAAUUCAGUUAAAUUACUGGGAAUAUAUCUCAAGCAAAAGAAACCCAGUUUCUCCUUCCCUUUUUUUUUUUUUUUUUUUUUUCUUUCCCCCACUUUUCUCUGCAACCAAACAGUUAAUCUUGCUGAUUUGUAUAUUUUCAAUGUAAAUCUGUGCUAGUUUUAUGUAAUUAUUUUACUAUUUUGUCGAAUUCUAUUGUUCAUAGUUGAUGGAGAUUCUACUAUUAAUUUGCUGCAGUUUUGGGUUUAUUGUGUUUGAAUGUUAAUGCGUGAUUUAUAGUGGGCAGGAAAUUUAUCAGUUUUUAAUCAAAGUUUGAGAAUAUUGCAUUUUUUUUUUUUGGAUUGCUUUUGUAGCUUAGAAUGAUUAUCUGUUUGAUAAAUAGUUUAGCUUUUCCUAAUGAUGCUUAUCUUUUCAAUAGAGUGAUCUCAGAAAGGGAUUGAUAAUUGAAGCAAUUCACAAGAUUGUGGAGCAAAAUCAGCAGACACAGCUAUCUAAUAGAAGACUAAAGAAGGAAAUUCCAAAUGAAUCAACCAGUCCAGAAGAAUACCCUCUAUGUUGGUAAGCAACUGAAAAUCCUGAUUAAUCAAUCCACAUUUACUCAUAUAUGAAUGAUGAUGAUGAUGGUGGACGACACAAAACAGGGGGGCUAGCAGAGGAGGUGAAUGAGUCGAUACUGCAUUCGGCAUUCAUACCUUUCGGGGACAUAAAGGAUGUGAAGCAUAGAUCCUUUGGGUUCGUGACCUUCCUGGAGAAGGAAGAUGCAGCUGCUCUCAUGGACAACAUGGAUGGUGCUGAGCUCUAUGGUCGAGUCCUCACUGUUAAUUAUGCCCUUCCUGAACGUAUCAAGGGUGGCGAACAGGGUUGGGCUGCUCGACCCAGUAAGUUUUUCCUCACUCCUUCAAACCCAACUUAGUUCUUUCUAUUUUUUCUUCCAAACUUAUGCUUUUAGUUUCCUUUUGGUGCAUAUAGUAUUUGUUUCUCUUUUGGGUAAUUUUCUUUUAUUAUCAUCUGUGAUUAAUUAGAAUUAGAAGGGCCUUUUGGACAAGAUGAAAUGAGUUUGUCUGUAUAUUAGUACAGAAAUCAGUAUAAUGCUGGUGAAGGUUUAAUGCUGUAGACUAAUUUGUAGAGGUUAAUUAUCUGAGAAUAAGAGGUGCAAUGUUCCAGGAGAAUAUUCUGAAGUCCUAGUGGUGUUGGGUUACUUAGGGUUUAGUCUAUUAUCUAACUCAAAUUAAGGUUCAGCUCUAGGCUUCAAUAUAACCUAUCAAAAGAAAAAGCUCUAAGCUUCAAUAUAACAUGUAAACUGCUAAUAUAUUUCAAACAACCUGUUGGGGCCAACUCCCUGUUAUCAAAAUACAUGUAUAUUGGAACUCAACCAAAGAGGCAUAUGGAUGUUAUUGAGCGCAUAUGUUUGGUUCAUGGAAUAAUCAAUGCUGCUCAAUAGGUCCUGCUAAUAACUAAUUAGGAACAUGCCCCCCAUAAAAAGAAACAAAGCUCUGUAUUGCUGUGACUUCAAUAUGGCGUUGUGCAUGGUACUCCGUUUUUCACUUGGUUAUGGGGUCUUCAAGCUGUUUACUCUAGUCAAUACUUGUAAUAUACUCCUUUUGACUCUGAUCUAAAAUAAAAAAAAAUAUAUACUCCUUUUGACGAGCCAUCCUUGAGGUGGUUGUAAAAUCAGUUGGAUAGAGUACUCUUUCUAUCUUUCGUGCUGAUUAAUCAUGCCAAGUAGAUGGAGCACCCUUUCUAUUUUUAGAGACCUACAACUCUUACUUGCAUCUAGUGGCCCUCAGACAUGUAGAUGAAUAGCGAAAAACAAUGUGGCUGAUUUGAUGCUAUAUAUAAUUUUCUGUCAAGGCUCUUGCUCUGCAUUUAUUUCGUUACUCAUUGAAACCCAAUUCCUAAUUAUUUUCAAGAAAAAGAAUCAACUUUCCCAGUAUUCAAGAGGACCCCUUCAAAAAUGAAACUAGUAAGAAAUGAUACAUUAAAUAUUGGAGAUUAUGUUUCUUAACCUUUUCGCCUAUACUGGACAUUUUUUUUUGUAUACUUCAUGUGUACUGUGUAUGCAUCCCCUUUGGUGCUUUUAUUAUAUGUUCUCUUUUGCCUAUAAAAAAAAUUAAAAAAAUGGGAGACUAUCAAGGACUUUUAAAAGAGUAAAUCUUCUGAUGAGUGGUGACCACUGGCUGGACUGAUACUAAUACAAACCUUAGCUCUAUUUACUUGAUGUACAUAAUUGGGCUAUAAGCCAUGGAAUUAGAUUCUGCUUAAUCACCAUUUUCGGAUUUGGGAUAAUCUUCUUUCUCUGACUAGCAGUUUGAGGAUUAACCUUGUGCAUGUGGGAUUGAUAUGCAUGUGGUUUUCUGUUUUGCAGUUUGGGCUGAUGCUGACACAUGGUUCGAACGACAACAACAAGAAGAGGAAAUGCAGCGCAUUCAAGCUGAGAAUCGGGCUGCAAUGCAGGCAGCCGAGGAGUUACACAGAAAGAAAAUGGCACAGGAACGGGAAGGGGAGAAGGACGAAGAAGUAGAGGGCAAGGAUGAUCCCAUGGCAAGGGUGGAAGCAUACAAGAGAAAAAUGAACAACAGUGAGAUUUUGAGAGAAUAGGGAAUACGGAAGAAACUUACCCAAUAACUAUUUCCAAAUAAACUUCUCUUGUCCCCGGCAAACUUGAAAAUUUUCAUCCUUGUGCUUAUGGAAGAUAGGGAAUGUAAAAACGAGAAUAAGAAAAUUACCUCUUAAGGCACAAUGUUGUUGAACGGACAUAAAAAUAUUUUCACACGAAACUAAAUAAAUGAGUAAUAGACAACGAAACAACCAGAUCACAAGAAAACAAAGAAAUCAACAUAAUGAAAAAUAAUUUUGCUAGUACAGAUAUACAGCAAAAUUAUUUUUCAUUAUGUUGAUUUUUUUGUUUUCUUGUGAUCUUGUUGUUUCAUUGUCUAUUACUCAUUUAUUUGGUUUCGUGUGAAAAUACUUUCAUUUUCGUUCAACAACGUUGUACCUUAGGAGGUAAUUUUCUUAUUCUCGUUUUUACAUUCCCUAUCUUCCAUAAGCGCAAUGGUGGAAUUUUUCAGGUUUGCCAAGACAAGAGAAGUUUAUUUGGAAAUAGUUGUUGGAUAAGUUUCUUCCGUAUUCCCUUUUCUCUCAAAAUCUCACAAUUGUUCAUUUUUCUCUUAGAGGGCAAGGAUGACACAUGGUUCUUUAUCUUUUAUGAUAUUAAGUUUUAAUAUCACAUCUUUUUAUUUUUAUUUAUUUAUUAUUUUUUAAAGUCUUUCUAUCUUUACAAUUAAUAACUAUUUUUUUUAUUUCUUGUAGACUCUUAAGUUUCUACGUACUAACUUGUUUUCACAUCCAUUAUUUUUAAAUUUAUAAAUCAUACAUGUAUAGGUACCGUAUGGUAGAAACAUAAUACCCUUUAUAAAUUAAUAAAUUAUUCGUUUAUUGAUAAAUUAAUUAAUUAUUCAUUUAUUAAUAAAUCAAUAACCACUCUAAGAAAAUAAUUUCUCCAUGUCCCAAGAGUAUUAAUAUUUUAUAGGAGUUUUACCAUAUAUAUUUAUAAUGAAGUUUAGCUUUUGCAUGCUUUUAUGACAAAAAAUAUUAAAAUAAUAAAAUGAUAAGAUAUAAAGCCAGAAAAAUAUGAAUUAAAUAAAUAAUGAACUUUUGUUUCAUUCUUAUAUAUCUUCUUUAUAAUUAAAUAUAUAAUUUUAUUAUUUAAUAAAAUAUAAGAUAUUAAUCCAUUUACAUUUCAUCUUUGUUAUAAUUUAAUAUAGUAAUAUUAAAGAUAUUUUAAGUUUUUUAAUUAUAUAUAUUAAACUUUCUAUAAUUAUUUUUAAUCUUAAUAAUAUAUAAAUUAUAUAUUCACGAGGUUAUAUUAUCAUCAUGGUUUGCUCAGAGCUCUAUCGAUCCAUCCAUUGAAUUGUGACUUUGUAACUUUUUCAAUUCAAUUGUCAUCAUAGUUCAUAAAAUAUUAAUUCAAACUCAUCAAGUUAUUAACAACUUUUUCAAUUCAAUAAUCGAUUUGGUUUUCAAACAUUAGUUCAAACUAAGGGUGACAAUUCGUGCUAACGGGUCAUGUUUGUGUCAUGUCAAAGUUUAAGCAUUAAUUCUACAAAAUAGGUCAACUCAAGCAAGGUACGAAUAAUAUUUGAGUUAAAAAUACAAACUCAAAUACAAUUUAAUUAUUAAACAUAUAACAAACCAUGUGACCAAUUUAACAAUAAGGUUCUCAUGUUUAAUAAUGUGGUUGAAUUAAGUCUUAUAUAAGUCUAUAUGAUUAAUAUUUCAAUCCGUCUUACUUAUAAUUCGAUUGACCUAUUUAUUUAAAACAUUUAAAAUGAAUCAUAUAUAAGUUAAACAUAUUAGAAUUAUAUUAGAUUAAUCAACAUGAUUAUUAAAUAUAUGAAUUCAAGUUAAAUUUGUAUUAUUCAUAUUGGCCUAAAAUUAACCUAUCUAUUAAACAAGUUAUACGUUCGAUAUGAAUUUGACCCAAUCAUGAUUAUACACAAUUAUAAUUCAUGAAAAAUGUGUUAGAUUUGAAUCAUGUUGAUGAAUCGUAUCAAAUUUUGCCACCUUUAAUUCAAACUUAUUAAAUUAAAAGUUCAACUAAAGUAUCGAUGGGUAUCUUUUUGACACCAUACAAAAAUUAUCACCAAUAAAAAAAUGCCACCUAAACAAACAAUUCCUUUGCUUCGUAUAUAUUUUGGGUUUGAUAUUUUUUUAUCAUUCAUGUAAUCUUAUUACCUUAUACUUAAGUUAUCUUUAUUCAAUAAUCUAUAUUUUCAGUAUACACAUGAAUGAAUAACAAGCUCGAUAGGAGGCCAAUUGGUGCCACAAUAUUUUCUUUCAAGUUAUUUAGAAAAAAAGAAAAAAAAAAUGAAGAGAUCGGAUAUGCCUUUGGAAAAGGUAACUGAGCUUGCUGUUUUGUGAAUAUGCCAUUGGUUAUAAUUAAAGAGUCCUUCUGCUGCAUCCAAUCAUGUGGCAAUACUUCCUGCCAUACAAAUGCCCAAACACCCACGUCUAAGUAAAGCAGUCACUCAGUGCAGGAAAAAGCUAGGUGUAAGUUGGGAACUAAACACCCUAGACUAAGCAAAGCACUCAAAUCGUACUGGAAAAGUUUGGGCUUUGUAGAUUACCUUUGUAUCAAGAUUAUCUUUGUAGAUCAAGUGUGUGCCACACCACCCAAUCCCUCCCUGCUCCAGAAAGGAAGAUUCCAGAUUUCUUCAAUGCGUCUUUAUUUAAUCCCCCACAGGACUCAUUCAACUCCACCAGUGGCCAUCCUCAAAUCUGAGAGGAAAAACAAAGUGAAGGUUAGAUGGGUAGUGUGUGUGUGAUCAGCAAUGGAGAGAGAGGGAGAGGGAGUCCCAGCAAAAGAGAGCAUUUUAGUGACUGUUAUGGACAAGAUAGACGGGGCUUGCACUUGGGUGAAAGAAAAAGUGAAGUCAAUCUUCAGUUUCUUCAGUGGAGCUUUUCGAGGGUUGAGGUCGUUUUUCACCUUUUCUUCUGAAAAACCUGAGGAAGUGCUUUCAGGGAGCAACACCCAGAUAGACAAAUCCUCUGAAAAGAAACCGAUGGUUCAGGUGGCUCCUGAGGAGGGAGAGAAAGUGGAAGUGGUGGUUGAUCAGGACGCUUCUGUCCCAGCAAAAGACAGUUUUUUUGUGCGUGUUUGGAACAAGAUACAUGAAGCUUGGACUUGGGUGAAAGACAAAGUGAAGUCAGUCUCGAAGCUCUUCAUCACUGAGUCCAUCACAGAAGUGCUUUCAGGGAUCAACACCCAGCUAGACAACUUGUCUGGGAAGCCAAGGAAGGUUGGGGAGGUUCCUGAGGAGGGUGGUCUUCUGGAUGAGAUGAACAGGCUGCUUCAGAAGAUGAGGAAGUUGGUGGAUCAAUGGUUGGGGGUUGGGAACAGCCUUGGAAUGAAGGCUGCACGCCUGACAGUGAAUUGGCUUCUUGAUUUGGUUGGAGGGUUCAUUGAGUUGUUGCAGAAAGCCAUUAAGGAGCCUUGGACCCUCAUACCUGCUCUUAUUAAGGGUUUUUUGCUAUUCCUCAAUUUCAAGAAGGUUGGUGGAGUGAUGAGAGAUGUGAGGUGUAAAGAGAAAGCUGACAUGGCCAUUUUUACUCUAAUAAAUCUCAUUGUACCAUCAACUAACCGCUUCAAGUUAGGGUGAGGUUUAUGAAGGGUUUAUGUGAAGUUGAGCUUUUCUUAGGAUGUGUGAAAUUGUUCCUUUCUGUGUUGUGUGUUGCUGAUGGGGUGUUUUUACAGAAAUGUGUCUUCCCCAAAUGGGAUCUUACACUGUAAAAACUACUACUAUAUUAUAAUCUCUAUUGUCUUUUCAUAUUGAUCUAGAUCGAUUGAGUUGUGUUCCUAUUGCCAUUUGUGUCUCAAGUGGCUUGUUGAGAUCAAAUUGAUGAUCGAUUUGGGCUGAGGAAGGAAUGUAGAUCUUAGAUCUCACUUGGUUAUGAAAAUAAAAUAUAGGGGGGGAAAAGUGAAAUGAGUUGAAAAUAAUUAAAAUAUGUUA